UUUUUCUAAGUACAGCGGUAGCAUUAUAAGAUGAUCUCUCACUAAAUUUCAAGGUAUAAGUGUUCUCCCUGAGUAUGCACCGUUGCGACAGUUCAUCGUGCCGAGACACCACGUGAUGAUCGGGUGUGAUAAGCUCUACGUUCACAUACAACGGGUGCAAUCCAGUUUUGCACAUGCAGAAUACUCGGGUUAAACUUGACGAGCCUAGCAUAUGCAGAUAUGGCCUUGGAACACUGAGACCGAAAGGUCGAGCGUGAAUCAUAUAGUGAUGUUCACCAUUGAAAACUACUCCAUCUCACGUGAUGAUCGGACAUGGUUUAGUUGAUAUCGAUCACGUGAUCAUUUAGAUGACUCGAGGGAUGUCUAUCUAAGUGGGAGUUCUUAAAUAAUAUGAUUAAUUGAACUUAAAUUUAUCAUGAACUUAGUCCUGAUAGUAUUUGCAUAUCUAUGUUGUAGAUCAAUAGCUCCCGUAUAGCUUCCCCGUUUAUUUUUUUAUAUGUUCCUAGAGAAAAAUAAGUUGAAAGAUGAUAGUAGCAAUGACGCGGACUAGGUCCUUGAUCUGAGGAUUAUCCUCAUUGCUGCGCAGAAGAAUUAUGUCCUUGACGCACCGCUAGGUGACAGACCUAUUGCGGGAGCAGAUGCAGACGUUAUGAAUGUAUGGCAAAGCUCGGUAUGAUGACUACUUGAUAGUUUAGUGCACCAUGCUUUACGGCUUAGAACCGGGACUUCAAAAAUGUUUUGAACGCCAUGGAACAUAUAAGAUGUUCCAAGAGCUGAAAUUUGUAUUUCAGACUCAUGCCCGAGUCGAGAGGCAUGAGACCCCUGACAAGUAUUUUGCCUACAAGAUGGAGGAGAAUAGCUCAACCAGUGAGCAUGUGCUCAGAAUGUCUGAGUACUACAAUCGCUUGAAUCAAGUGGGAGUUAAUCUUCCAGAUACGAUAGUGAUUGACAGAGUUCUCUAGUCACUAUCACCAAGUUACUAGAACUUUGUGAUGAACUAUAAUAUGUAAGGGUUGAAGAAAACGAUUCCCGAGCUCUUCGCGAUGCUGAAAUCAGCGAAGGUAGAAAUCAAGAAAAGCAUCAAGUGUUGAUGGUUGACAAGACCACUAGUUUCAACUUUCAAGCAAAAGGGCAAGGGAAAGAAAGGGAACUUCAAGAAGAAUGGCAAGCAAGUUGCCACUCCCAUGAAGUAUCCCAAAGAUAGACCCAAGCAUGAAACUGAGUGCUUCUACUACAAAGGAAAUGGUCACUGGAAGUGGAACUGCCCUAGAUACUUGGCGGAUAAGAAGGAUGGCAAAGUGAACAAAGGUAUAGUUGAUAUACAUGUUAUUGAUGUGUACUUUACUAGUGUUUAUAGCAACCCCUCAGUAUUUUAUACUGGUUCAGUUGCUAAGAGUAGUAACUCAAAACGGGAGUUGCAAAAUAAACAGAGACUAGUUAAGGGCGAGGUGAUGAUGUGGGUUGGAAGUGAUUCCAUGGUUAAUAAGAUCACCAUCGCACAGUCCCUUUACCUUCGGGAUUAGUGUUGAACCUAAAAUAAAUGUUAUUUGGUGUUUGCGUUGAGCAUGAAUAUGAUUGGAUCAUGUUUAUUGCAACACGGUUAUUCAUUUAAAUCAAAGAAUAACUGAUGUUCUAUUUACAUGAAUAAAACCUUCUAUGGUCAUACACUCAAUAUAAAUGGUUUAUUGAAUCUCGAUCGUAGUGAUACACAUAUUCAUAAUAUUGAAGCCAAAAGAUGCAAAGUUAAUAAUGAUAGUGCAACUUAUAUGUGGCACUGCCGUUUAGGUCAUAUUGGUGUAAAGCGCAUGAAGAAACUCCAUGCUGAUGGACUUUUGGAAUCACUUGAUUAUGAAUCACUUGAUGCAUGCGAACCAUGCCUUAAGGGCAAGAUGACUAAGACUCCGUUCUCCGGAACAAUGGAGCGAGCAACUGACUUAUUGGAGAUAACACAUACUGAUGUAUGCGGUCCGAUGAGUGUUGAGACUUGCGGCGGGUAUCGUUAUUUUCUGACCUUCACAAAUGGUUUGAGCAGAUAUGGGUAUAUCUGCUUGAUGAAACAUAAGUCUGAAACAUUUGAAAAGUUCAAAGGAUUUCAGAGUGAAGUGGAAAAUCAUCGUAACAAGAAAAUAAUGUUUCUACGAUCUGAUCGUGGAGGUGAAUAUUUGAGUUAUGAGUUUGGUCUUCAUUUUGAACAAUGUGGAAUAGUUUUGCAACUCACGCCACCUGGAACACCACAGCGUAAUGGUGUGUCCGAACGUCAUAACCGUACUUUAUUAGAUAUGGUGUGAUCUAUGAUGUCUCUUACUGAUUUACCACUAUCGUUUUGGGUUAUGCAUUAGAGAAAGUUGCAUUCACGUUAAAUAGGGCACCAUCUAAAAAUCCGUUGAGAAGACACCGUAUGAACUGUGGUUUAGCAAGAACCUAAGCUAUCGUUUCUUAAAGUUUGGGGUUGCGAUACUUAUGUGAAAAAGUUUCAACCUGAUAAGCUCGAACCCAAAUCAGAGAAAUGUGUCUUCAUAGGAUACCCAAAGGAAACUGUUGGGUACACCUUCUAUCACAGAUCCGAAGGCAAUAUAUUCGUUGCUAAAAAUAGGAUACUUUCUAGAGAAAGAGUUUCUCUCGAAAGAAGUGAGUGGGAGGAAAGUGGAACUUGAUGAGGUAGUUGUACCUUCUCCCGAAUUGGAAAGUAGUUCAUCACAGAAAUCAGUUCCAGUGAUUCCUACACCAAUUAGUGAGGAAGCUAAUGAUGAUGAUCAUGAAACUUCAGAUCAAGUUACUACCGAACCACGUAGGUCAACCAGAGUAUGGUCCGCAUCAGAGUGGUAUGGUAAUCCUUUCUGGAAGUCAUGUUACUAGACCAUGACGAACCUACGAACUAUGAGGAAGCGAUGAUGAGCCUAGAUUCCGCGAAAUGGCUUAAGGCCAUGAAAUCUGAGAUGGGAUCCAUGUAUGAGAAAAAAGUAUGGACUUUGAUUGACUUGCCCGAUGAUCGGCGAGCCAUUGAGGAUAAAUGGAUCUUCAAGAGGAAGACGGACGCUGAUAGUAGUGUUACUAUCUACAAAGCUUGAAUGUCGCAAAAAGUUUUCGACGAGUUCAAGGUGUUGACUAUGAUAAGAUUUUCUCACUCGUAGCGAUGCUUAAGUCUAUCCGAAUCAUGUUAGCAAUUGCCACAUUUUAUGAAAUCUGGCAAAUGGAUGUCAAAACUACAUUCCUUGAUGGAUUUCUUAAAGAAGAGUUGUAUAUCAUGCAACAAAAAGGUUCUGUCAAUCCUAAAGGUGCUAACAAAGUGUGCAAGCUCCAGCGAUCCAUCUAUGGACUGGUGCAAUCAUCUCGGAGUUGGAAUAUAUGCUUUGAUAAGGUGAUCAAAGCAUAUGGUUUUAUACAGACUUCUGGUGAAGCCUGUAUUUACAAGAAAGUGAGUGGGAGCAUUACAGCCUUUCUGAUAAGUAUAUGUGAAUGACAUAUUGUUGAUCAGAAAUGAUGUAGAAUUUUCUGGAAAGCAUAAAGGAGUGUUUGCAAGGAGUUUUUCAAAGAAAUACCUUAGAGAAGCUGCUUACAUAUUGAGCACAAGAUCAAUAGAUGUACAUCAAGACGCUUGAUAAGUUUUUUCAAUGAGUACAUACCUUGAUAAGUUUUUUGAAGUAGUUCAAAAUGGAACAAUCAAAGAAGGAGUUCUUGCCUGUGGUGCAAGGUGUGAAGUUGAGUAAAGACUCAAAACCCGACCACGGCAGAAAAUAGAAAGAGAAUGAAAAGUCAUUCCCUAUGCCUCAGUCAUAGGUUCUAUAAAGUAUGCUAUGUUGUGUACCAGACCUAUUGUAUACCUUAGCAUGAUUUUGGCAAGGGAGUACAAUAGUUAUCUAGGAGUAGAUCACUGGACAGCGGUCAAAAUUAUCCUUAGAGGACUAAGGAAAUAUUUCUCGGUUAUGGAGGUGAUAAAAGAGUUCGUCGUAAAGAGUUACGUUGAUGCAAGCUUUGACACCAAUCUGGAUGACUCUGAGUCUUGAUCUGGAUACAUAUUGAAAGUAGGAGCCAUUAGCUAGAGUAGCUCCGUGCAGAGCAUUGUAGACAUUAAAAAAAUUGCAAAAUACAUACGGCUCUGAAUGUGGCAGACCCGUUGACUAAACUUAUCUCACAAGAAAAACAUGAUCACACCUUAGUACUCUUUGGGUGUUAAUCACAUAGCGAUGUGAACUAGAUUAUUGACUCUAGUAAACCCUUUGGGUGUUAGUCACAUGGAGAUGUGAACUAAUCACAUAAAGAUGUGAACUAUUGGUGUUAAAUCACAUGACGAUGUGAACUAGAUUAUUGACUCUUGUGCAAGUGGGAGACUGAAGGAAAUAUGCCCUAGAGGCAAUAAUAAAGUUGUUAUUUACAUUUCCUUAUAUCAUGAUAAAUGUUUAUUAUUCAUGCUAGAAUUGUAUUAACCGGAAACUUAGUACAUGUGUGAAUACAUAGACAAACAGAGUGUCCCUAGUAUGCCUCUACAAGACUAGCUCGUUAAUCAAAGAUGGUUAAGUUUCCUGACCAUAGACAUGUGUUGCAUUUGAUGAACGGGAUCACAUCAUUAGAGAAUGAUGUGAUGGACAAGACGCAUCCGUUAGCUAAGCACUAUGAUCGUUUAGUUUAUUGCUAUUGCUUUCUUCAUGACUUAUACAUGUUCCUCUGACUAUGAGAUUAUGCAACUCCCGAAUACCGGAGGAACACUUAGUGUGCUAUCAAACAUCACAACAUAACUGGGUGAUUAUAAAGAUGCUCUACAGGUGUCUCCGAUGGUGUUUGUUGAGUUGGCAUAGAUCGAGAUUAGGAUUUGUCACUCCGUGUAUCAGAGAGGUUUCUCUAGGCCCUCUCAAUAAUGCAUGUCACUAUAAGCCUUGCAAGCAAUGUGACUAAUGAGUUAGUUGCGGGAUGAUGCAUUCCGGAACAAGUAAAGAGACUUGCCGGUAACAAGAUUGAACUAGGUAUGAUGAUACUGUCGAUCGAAUCUCGGGCAAGUAACAUACCGAUGACAAAGGGAACAACGUAUGUUGUUAUGCGGUUUGACCCAUAAAGAUCUUCACAGAAUAUGUAGGAGCCAAUAUGAGCAUCCAGGUUCCGCUAUUGGUUAUUGACCAGAGAUGUGUCUCGGUCAUGUCUACAUAGUUCUCGAACCCGUAGGGUCCGCACGCUUAACGUUCGAUGACGACUUGUAUUAUGAGUUAUGUGAUUUGAUGACCGAAGUUUGUUCAUAGUCCCGGAUGAGAUCACGGACAUGACGAGGAGUCUUGAAAUAGUCGAGACAUAAAGAUUCAUAUAUUGGAAGGUUGCAUUUGGACAUCGGAAUGGUUCCGAGUGGUUCAGGCAUUUUUCCGAAGUGCCGGGAGGUUACCGGAACCCCGGGGAGAAGUAUUGGGCCUAGUGGGCCUUAUUGGAGGAGAGGAGAAAGGGCCACAAGAGAGGGGCGCGCCCUCCCCUUUCGCAAACCAAAUUGGACUAGGGGAGGGGGGCGGCCCCCAUCUUUCCUUCCCCCUCUCUCUCCCUUCCCUUUCCCUCCGUUGGAAGAAAGGAAAAGGGGGGCGAAUCCUACUUGGACUAGGAGUCCAAGUAGGACUCCCCCCUUUGCGCGCCCAACCUGGCCGGCCUCCUCUCUCCCUCCCUCCUUUAUAUACGUGGCCAGGGGGCACCCCAAUAGCACAACAGACAAUCUCUUAGCCGUGUGCGGUGCCCCCUCCGUAGAAACACACCUCAGUCAUAUCGUCGUAGUGCUUAGGCGAAGCCCUGCGCCAGUAACUUCAUCAUCACCGUCGCCACACCAUCGUGCUGACGGAACUCUCCCUCGGCCUCAACUGGAUCAAGAGUACGAGGGACGUCAUCGAGCUGAACGUGUGCUGAACACGGAGGUGCCGUACGUUUGGUGCUAAGAUCGGUCGGAUCGUGAAGACGUACGACUACAUCAACCGCGUUGAUAAACGCUUCCGCUUUCGGUCUACGAGGGUACGUGGACACACUCUCCCCGCUCGUUGCUAUGCCUCUCCUAGAUAGAUCUUGCGUGAUCAUAGGAAAAAAUUUGAAAUACUACAUUCCCCAACAGAUGCACUGGUCAUAUGACCGGAGACAAGUCGUUGUUUGUCGACCCCAACUUAAAUGCUUCAUCUCAGAAGUAUAUUACAUUUGGCGGCAACAACAAAGGAAAGGUAAUUGGGUUAGGUAAAAUUGUUAUAUCCAAAGACAAGAACAUUGAUGUUGUUUUCUGCCGCAUACACUCCCCAACAGAAUGGAGUUGUUGAGCGAGAGAAUAGAACUCUCAUUGAGAUGGCGAGAACAAUGCUCAGUGAGUAUAAAAGUCCAAUUCGCUUCUAGGCUGAUGCUAUUAACACUGCUUAUCAUGUCGUGAAUCGUGUUUAUCUUCACAAAUUCCUUAAGAAAACUUCAUAUGAGCUCAUCACUAGCAAGAAACCAAAUGUUUCUUAUUUAUGUGUUUUUGGUGCACCUUGCUAUAUUCGUGACAUGAAUCACAAUUCCAAGUUUGCACCUAAGGCACAUGAAGGUUUUCUUCUUGGUUAUGGCUCGAACUCGCAUACUUAUCGUGUGUAUAACCACGGGAAAGUUAUGGAAACGGUAAAUGUGUGGUUUGAUGAAUCUAACGGCUCCCAAAAGGAGCACCUGCCUAAUGUGAUAGAUGAACCACCGAUUUCGGAUGCUAUUUGUCAAAUGGCCAUUGGGAGCGCCAGGCUAGUUGAAGGAAAUGUACCUGACUCUUCCGAUGAUGAUGCCCCCAUGACUCGAAGCAGAACACGCCAAGCCACUGCCAAAGAAAAUGCCACUCCGAACACAAAUGGCAACCAGAAUGCAAAUGCCAAUCAAAAUGGCAAUCCUGAUGAAAAUGGCGACACAAAUGCUCAUCUCAAUGCUGAUGCUGAGGAUAAUGAAAAUGAUUGUCAAAAUGAAAAUUCUCACCCACGAGUGGCUAAUCGAGUUGACCCUGCAUUAAUUCUUGAAGAUCUUGAGAAUCCAGGUUAUCGACCCACAACUCGUUCUCGCACUCUUUUGGCUAACUACUGUGGCAAUUUCUCCUUUGUCUCAUUGACAGAACCUACCAAGUAUGAGGAAGCCAUGAAUGAUCCCGAUUGAAUGAAUGCCAUGCAAGAAGACUUGGGGCAAUUCGAAUUGAAUGAUGUAUGGGAAUUGGUCGACAAACCGAAUCCUAAGAAGCACAAUAUCUCGGCGCAAAAUGGAUAUUUCGGAAUAAGCAAGAUGAAAAUGGCAUUGUCGUGAUAAACAAAGUACGUCUUGUUGCUCAAGGGUAUAUAUGGGUAGAAGGCAUUGAUUUUGGUGAAACAUAUGCUCCUGUUGCUCGCCUUGAGGCACUUCAUAUUCUUCUCGCUUAUGCAAACUACAGUGAUAUCCUGCUUUAUCAAAUGGAUGUGAAAAGUGCUUUCUUUAAUGGUGAAACUGAUGAGGAAGUAUAUGUUAGAUAGCCACCUGGCUUUGAAAACCCUCAGUUUCCUAACAAAGUUUUCAGGUUGAAAAAGGCUCUAUAUGGGUUGAAGCAAGCCCUUCGAGCUUGGUAUGACACCUUGAAAAGGUUUUUGCUCGAUAAAGGGUUCAAGCCAGGAUCCACUGAUUCCACUCUUUUCACUCGUGCUAUUGAUGGUGAUCUAUUCGUCUGUCAAAUUUAUGUGGAUGAUAUUAUUUUUGGUUGUACUAACAAUGCUUGCGGCAUGGAGUUCGGGCGAAUGAUGUCCGAGAAAUAUCAAAUGUCUAUGAUGGGUGAACUUAAGAUCUUUCUCAGACUGCAGAUACGUCAACGGGACAAUGGAAUUUUCAUAUCUCAAGAGAAAUAUCUGAGAGACUGUCUGAGGAAGUUUAAAAUGCAAGAUUGCAAAACUGAAGGGCUACAAAACUCCAAUUCCCAUGAAUGGUCAGUUGGAUGCAGUUGUGUACAAUAAAUAUUAUGAUCAGAAAGCUUAUCGUUCGAUGAUUGGUUCUUUACUCUACCUAUGUGCAUCUAGACCUGAUAUUAUGUUGGGUGUUUGUAUGUGUGCUCGUUUUCAAGCUACACCGAAAGAAUCACAUCACCAAGCGGUCAAGCGUAUUCUGAGAUAUUCGGCUCACACCCCCACCUUAGGUUUAUGGUAUCCUAAGGGAGCACAGUUUGAUCUCAUUGGAUAUUCAGACUCAGAUUAUGCAGGUGAUCGGGUUGACAGGAAAUCUACUUCGGGGACAUGCCAUUUCCUCGGUAGAUCUUUGGUAUGUUGGUCGUCAAGAAAGCAGAAUUGUGUCUCUCUCUAUGGUUGAGGCUGAAUAUAUUGUUGCUGGUGCAAGUUGCACUCAGUUAUUAUGGAUGAAGUAGACGCUGAAGGAUUAUGGCAUCAAGGUCAAGAAGAUUCCUCUAUUCUGCGACAUUGAGAGUGCGAUCAAAAUUACACACAAUCCAGUGUAGCAUUCUCGCACCAAGAAUAUUGCGAUCAAACAUCAUUUUAUUCGCGAUCAUGUUGCUAAAGAGGAUAUUGUUAUCAGUCACGUCAAUACUGAAGAAAAUCUCGCUGAUAUCUUCACCAAGCCGCUCGAUGAGAAGAGAUAUUGUGCGUUAUGGUGUGAGCUAAAUAUCCGAGAUUCCGCAAACAUGUAGUAAGCUGGACUCGUCGCCCGUACCAUCACUUCCACAUCUUAGAAGGAAUGGGUGCACAACACUCGAAGAGUUUGAAGAGUUUGAAAAUUUUGAAAAAGUGAAAUUUUCUUUGUGAGAGUGAAUACAUUAAUGAAGAACUAGACUAACCGGGUGCCACGAUAAUUGUGCGACGCUCAGGGUCAUACAGUUCUUAUAUGGUGGAUCACGCCACCACAAUUUCCCUUCAUUGAGUUGCCUUUCGGUUGAAGGAUUUUGUGUUAGUCCGAAUGUAUUUCACCCAUAGCUUUUCUCUCGGGUGUUUGUGUUUCUUUGUCUGAGUGAAAUACCUAGGACCCUGUUUUCCCCCUAUUCUAUCUCCUCCAUUCUAUGAUGUUUCGAUAAGAAUGCUCAAAUUUCAUCUAGUAACGAUACUUUAUCUGGUAUCCUUGACCACGUUAAAGGUUCAUUCCGAACUUAAUUCGUUUUGGCCAAAGCCAUCCAAAAUUUGGGGUUUCCUACCCAAGUCAGGACCACGAUCUUUGAUGACGAUUGCCACGUGCUCUUCAUCAACUGUCGUUUUAUCUGGUCCGUUGAGUCACAAUAGUCCUUUGAAUGUGCUCGUUCGAUCAGAUUCACCAGAUGUGGUUAUUCCACCUCGCAUAUAUAUAUUGCAUCGCCAACCUUCCCCAAAUCCAUUUCUCCUCUUCGCCACCGUCACUUUCCGAGGCCCUACCGCACUGGUCCACCUUGAGCUCGACUACGUCGAUCAUCUUCGCCGCUUAGCUACCGAAAAGAGGUCGCCGGAGUCAUUCCUCGCCGCCGGGAAUCAUCAUCCUCCCUACGCCACCGUAGUUGCUGCACAUCACCGAGUUAGGGUAUGUGUAGUACGAACUCGUUCUUCAACUCAUCUUGUUCGAGUUUGUCCGCGAUAGAAAUUACCUAUAUUUACCGCAUUUCUCAGAUCUUUACUGAUAGGUAACUUGUGCGGAUGUGGUUUGUAGAAGUCCCCGCAUCCAAAAAGUUUCAGAUCUAGGGUUUGUGUUAUGUCUCGUACGACGGAAUGGUUAGCACAUUAACUAGUAUAUACUUCGAAUCUACUAGUUCGUUCUACACAUUUCUUUCAUCUGAAACAUUUCUCAGAGUCUGCAUCUAAUUCUUCUUCAAAACUUUUUCUUUCUCAAAACCUCGUUGUGAGCAUUUGUAACCAUGUCCCCAUUUUUCCCUCGCAUCUAUCCUUAUUCACAGGUAAAUGCAGUCAGUUGAGGAUUCGGCUCGACCAGUGAGCAUGGCUGAUAGAGAUGAUGGUGUUCUGGGUACAGCAGACGAAUCCAAAGCACCGAAUGCCAAGGGCCCCAACGGUAGGCCCAUCACCAGCAAGCGUAAGAAAACCGAGCAAAAUGUUGACGAGCAAGAAGAGAAUGCUCCGAAGAAGAAAAGGGGUGGCAUACAAGCGUAUACAAACACGGUUGAAUAUAUCUCCCAUGAUCGUUACAAUACUGUUCUAGGAGAAACAAAGCGGCAGAGAGAUAAGCGUCUGCAAUGGAUUCGACAUCACUGGGUGUGCAAAUGGUUCAGUUAUGAAUUUGUUCAUCCUCGGUUUGCUCAAAACUUUGCAUUUCAUCCACCAUGGGGUGACUGCCUAGAAAUUUCUCUCAUAAAACCAAAUGGUCCCCAAGAGAGACCACCGCCUCCACCAAAUGCUCAUGAGUCCUCCCUUCGCACACCUGAAUCCUAUCCCGAUGAGCUUGCUAAGCGUCAGUGAAAUGCCAUCAAGCGAGCUAAGAGGGGAGAAAAUAAAAAGGCUCAUGAAGAGGAAAACUGUCGCCUUCUCAAAGAUGAUGUAGAGAAUUAAAAGGCCGAAGGAAAAUCUGAAGGCCGCUCUAAACGCAAGCAUGAUCCCAGUACUGCUGCAUAAAAGCGAAAGAGUGCACCAAAGAACAGAACAGCUGCACCAGCUGAUGAAUUUGCCAUGAGUGAUCCUUCGGAUGAUGAUAAUCCUCCGCUCACAAAGAAAGAAGCUGAUGCUGCUCUCAGCGAGCAAGUGAAUAUCACUACUUCAACGGUGUUGCCUGAUCUUCGAGUCCCUAUGGUUCUAGAAGCACCACCGAAGAAGAUCACUGCUAGGAAAAUCCCACCUACCACUGUCACUAUGAAAUAGCAUGUGAACACAACUCCUCAUCCACAUGCUAUCAAUUUGAAGGAUUUGGCAGUUGACGCUCCUGUGAGUACUUCAAAGCCAGCGAACGAAUUCCCAAGCCUGACUUGAAGAAGAUCAAGGCACCUACUACCUAGAAUAAUGCUCCUCAAGCUACUGCUCCGACGGAGAAGGCUGCUAAGUUUUCUCCCACAUUAAUUCAGCCGCUGGCUUCUAAACCUCCUUCCGAGCAAGUUCCAGUGCAAAUUGCUCUAAUUACUAAGUCUGAUGCUCCUCACUACUAUGAUCAUAUGUUCAUAAUGGAACAGCUUGAUAAGUUUGUGGACAAUCCAUUCGAUGGUGAAGUGGCCUCUUUGCCUAUCCCUCCUGAAGUUAUUUCAUAGGCCACUAUUGUUCUUCAAGAAAUGAGAGAAGAUGCAUUUGAAAUCAACACUCUUUCUGCCGAACUCAAUAACCUUGAUCGUCGAAUGAAAAUUGCCUCUUCAAAAAAUUUCAUUAAAGCACUUGAGGACUCCUAGAAGGACAUCAACCGUGCCAUGACACUCCUCCAAAACAGAAGGUUGCGUUUUCACAUGGAUCUAGAUGAAAUUGUUCGCAAGAUCUGUGAUGAACAUCAAGCAGAGGUUACUGGCUAUAAUGAUCUGGUCAAAGGCCAUAUUAAUCAAGUUGCUCGGCAAAAGAAGAAGCAACGAAAGAAAACUGCGAAGAAAAAUGGACCUUCUGCUCCGACAGAAAAGUCACCUGAUCGCGCAGAGGCUUAGUCUCAAAAAGAAAAAACUCCUGAGCCAGUUGUUCCUUCGCAACCCCCAGUCAAAGACUCGGAUGCUCCCCCCUCGCCAAGGCUAACUGAAUCAGUGCAUGUGGCCUCCACUGCUCAAGCUGAUAAUCCGUCUCAGCGAACUGUUUCCGAGGAAGGUGAAAUCUCUUGCUCCGAGCCCCAAGCUUCUCCGUCUCAUGAAACACCAAAGGGCUCGGCCUCUCCACUUAUUCAGCAACAACAGAUUCCAGUGGAACAACCUCAACCACCUCAUGUACUUGAUUCGGCCUCAGAGCCUACAGUGAAGGAACCUACUGUGCUGCCUACUGCCUCUGCAGCUCCCUCUAUUGUGCCACCAGCUCCAUCACCACUUAAGUUGUCUCUCGACACAGCACCAAGAAUGCCAGAUAUUGGUCCCUCUGAACGAAAAUCUAUUUCUGCUCGCAAGACUGACUCUGUCGUAUAUGGCGAUGAAUAUCUCUCUCUUGAAGACGAACUCAAAUACCCAUACCCUCGUGAAGAACUACCUUUGUUCUUGUCAGGAGAUGGUGCAAAAGGUCCUCCUUUCAAUAGGAAUGUGCAUCCCAAAUUCUUUCAAGAUAGUCCGUAUGAUGGGCCGCGCACUUCGGAACCGCCUCGCUUCUGGACAAAAGAACAGGCCAUCUAUUACUCUCGGGUCCUCUAUGAGAGCAGAAAUAUAUUUCCGCAUGAAUACCUGAACAUCCCUGCUAUGCGCAAUAUUGGUUGCUUCAAUCAGUUACUGCAAGAUCUAGAUGAUUUCUACCUCGCCAAGUAUUCGAAUUCGAGCAUCCUUGGAAUCGAGAGCUUAUUCUUCAGUUCUAUGCUACUCUAUAUAUCUCUGGUGAUGAAUCCGACAGGUCAAAAUGGAUUAUGGAGUGGAUAAUCGAAGGAAAAUGCAUCAAAUGCACUUCAACUGAUUUUGUCUCGCACUUCCAUUUCCCUUGCUUUGAGCAUGGUGACAAUGAAAUUCGGGUGCACAACAUUGAUGUCAUAUCAGAUGAAACUUUUCGGUGCACUAUGGAUCAAGAAAAGAUUCGUGACUACACUGGUCCUCCCCAUCCUGAGCAUUUAACGUUCGAGAAUCAGACACUAUUCCACAUGCUCUUUUACACUGUUUGCCCUCUGGCCAGGAUGAAUAUAGAUAAGUCCAUCUUAGAUGUUCUUCGGAAUACUAUCUAUGCAAUCUCUAAGUGAUAUAUCUUCGAUGUUGAGGGCAUGUUUCUGCGUAUUCUGAAGGAUUCUUCUCAAUAUAUAUCCUUUCUGCCUCAAAGUUUUCAUGCCAUGGAUCCAGAAAGUCAUUAUCACGCUAUGCGCAUAGUGUAUCUGGCGAAGCAAAGUCAUAAAAGCUUCCUACUUCCUGUUCACGACACCUUGCAAAUCAUGGAAGAUAUUUCUUCGGGUAAAUCGCCUACGUCAAUCCCUCAUGAUUAUCACAAGCAAUUCGACGGGCCAUGUAUCCCUCAGCAUGACCAAAAGAUUUCGCCUCAACCUCCAUCGCAACUCGAAGUCAGUUUGCGUACACAACAGUUGCUGCUGUAGCACAUCGCUGAGGAUCAACGCGAAAAAGAACAUCUCGCCUCCGAGCUAAAUGCUCUCAACAAUUGCAUCGGAAUCAUGCAUCUGAUUGUAGAUGAAAACAAGAAGCGGCUCUGGAAAUUGCUUUGUAAGUUCUUUACCGAGAAACAACUCCUGAAUGUCAAUCUCCAAGAGCUCUAUGAUUAUAUUGACAAAGGCUUCACUAUUGAAAAUUUCCAAGAUCGGAGUAUCCCUCCUCUUCCUAGUCGUGAGCCAACCACUGAUCUUUUGCAUCUCAAGCUUCGCAAACUGCUUGAAGAAUCUGAAGCCACCUCACCAACAGAGAAACCUACCGAAGGCAAUAUGCUAUCCCAUGUUCCUCAUGUGGCUGACCCAAACAUGCCCUCGUCCUCUCAGCCCCAAGUUGUUAUCCCUGAAGGAAAAUCCAGUGCUGCUGAAGACAAAGUUAUUCCAGUCACUUCCAAAGACGAAGUCACCUCGGACAGUUCUUCUGGAGAUGCCACCGAGUGAACCAAGUUCUGCAUUUUUGCACUCAUGUUCUUCAUCACCUUUUUGACACUAGUUGACAAAAAGGGAGGAAAUUACAUCGAGUCUCAAUAGAUUUUCUUUCUGUGUUUCUUUGGUUUGGUUUCGUGCAAGUUUGAAACUUCUGGUUAAAGCUUAUCUGCUCUAAAUUGUAAAACUUCUGUGCUGAAAUGUUAAUAACCCCGCCUACUGCACUAUUUCUCUUGAAGCAUUUGUAUUGAAGGUGGAAUUAUUAUCGAAGUUAUGAAUGAUAGCACUACGAUCUCGAUGGAUUAUAUGUCAUCAGUGUAAAUCAUUGUCUCGAAUGAUUGAAAUUUCCUCUGUAUACCUCAAUAAUUGCAGGAGAAUUAAUCUCAUAUCUUUUCCCUGCAUACAUCUAGGGGGAGUCUAUUUCAUCAUUGAGCAAAGUAACACUUAUUCACUCUUGUUGGAGUUACUUGUCACUUAUCUAUCUUCACUUUGAUGAUUAUCUGUUUUCUCAACAACCGUCCAAAAAGGGGGACAUUGUUGGUGCAAUAAUUUGCCUCCUUAUAUUUUGGAGUUUGUUGACAUAAACAGUAUGGGACUUAUGUGUUUGCUAGUGCACAUAGAGUAACAGGUCCCUAGAAUCAAGAGGAGUUUGAUUCAAAGGCCGAAGAUAAUCCCCUGCGUGGCAGUGAAGGUUAUCACCGAAGAUUAUGAUAACAAGAGUGACCCCUCAAAAAUUGCUGACGCGAAGCAAUUAGUUCGAUGCUCGUCUGAAGGAAGUGACUGGGACCGAGAAGAUUGAAUACGAAGUGAAGAUGUAGCAUUUAUUUCAUUGUUUCUCUCCUCUUUAUUGAGUCACAGGACCACCAUACUAUUAAGAGGGGUGCAACAUUUUAAACUUUGAUUCUCUGAUGCUAAACUCAAGUCCUAUGAAAGUUCUGAUAGAAAUAUCUUUGUGUUUCGAGCAAAUGCUUGCCAGCAAGAGACUGUGAUCUUCUUCGCUGCGAGAGAUUUGUCUCUGAUCGAGGAUUUAGCAUUACUUGGUCCUCAAGUAAUGUUACUGUUGCUCUUAAAAUCGGACCGUUGUGAACGUGUCGGUUGGCCAUUGGCUGGACCACGUGUCCAAAAUGGUCAUUUCCCACCAGGGAAGGUUGUGGCUAUAAAUAGCCACCCAGCACCAGCGUUGUCCGGUGGCUGCUCCGUUUGAUUGUGAGAAGAUUAUUGAGAGCCAAAAAAUUAGAUAGUGAUUCAGCAUCACCCGAAUCUAAGUCCAGUACACUCCGCCUAUUACUCUUGAGAGCUGCAAACUCUCUAGACAGUUAGGUGUCAAUUUCUUCAGGGACCAAGAGUAACUGUGGUUCUCGAAAAAGAAGUCUGUAAAGGUUCAGAGAUCACCUCAAGUAUCUACCACGAGUGUCGUGGUUUUGUCACGGCAGAUGUCCUAGAGAAAGGACUUAGUCGUGGAGCCAUCGCUAUGGGUUAGCUCGAAGGGGUUAAAGCAGACAAGGGACGCAAGAGAGUUUUAUACUAGUUCGGCCCCUUCGAUGAAGGUAAAAGCCUACGUCUAGUUGUGAUGGAAUUGAUGGGGUUUCGAUGACCAGGGAUCGAAUAUGCUUUGCCUAAGUCUCGAGUUGUUGUCUGUUCUUCCUGAACCGCCGCCGGGUCGUCCCCUUAUAUACAUGGGUUGACGCCCGUCGGUUUACAGACUCCGAGGCCGGCUCAUAAUCGUGUCCGGCUCGGUCUCUGCUACGCAUAUCUUACAACACAAGUUUACAUCUCAAUGCCGGUUUGUGUCUACAUGCCUUAAACCGGCUUUGGGCCUCCAUGAAGCGUCACCGUCUGUCUUCAUGGGCUUCAGAUACAGAUGAACUACUUAUGAAGUUAACCCGGCCUCUCCUGGCCGGUUUACGCCCAGUGGUAAUAUCCCCAACAUUAGGCCCCAGAUUGAUUUGAACUGGUUCAUGUCAAUCCUCAAUACUUGAGAAAAUUUCUUCUUCAACACUUCACACAAUCUUGUAAACCGCCAUGACAUCAUCUUCUAGGAUGUUGGUAAACCGCCGUGACAUCACCUGUCAUUAACGAGCCUCCGACAAUCGAGGCGAUAGCCUUACCUUAUAUCCAAAAAUCCGGCUCCUCGAUUUUUGCAUCUGUCGUUUAUCUCCUUAUAAAUAGGGCCAGGGGGUCUUUCCAGUUUCCCCCUCGUGCCUCUUCGCUUCAUCUUCAUCCUCGCGACGCCCGAACCUUCGAUCUCGGCCGCCGCCGUCAACCUUCAACUGCUGCACCACCCUUGGCCACUGCAUCGACCUGAACGUACCAGAGCUCCUCCGCGCCCGCCGCUGCUCAAUAGCAUCCGUAAGUCUCCCCUUUCUCUUACCAUAGAUCUGCGCUUAGGGUUUCCGUCGUUCAUCGGUGUUCGUCGCCGCCCUUCUUUUCCCUUGUUUAUAUCCGUGGGUUAGAUCCAAAAACCACCUAGGUCUCGUGUGGUAGUAGUUUAAACCACAUAGAUCUCGUGCUUUAGCAGUUUCAGCACCUGUUUGAUAUCCAACUCAUCUCAUCUUGGUGAACCUUCGGUACACUGGAAUUUAGGUCAGAAUAUAUUUUGUUUUUCCUACACGCGGAGAUCUGAAAUUACCAUAGCAAGAUGUGAAACUUGUUUCUUCCAUCUCUUACACCCUUUGAAUACCAGAUUGGUCGGUUUAACCUCACAGGAAAAAUGAUGACCCGGUAGAUACCAUUAGUCCCCUGUUGAACCGCCAAUGCAUUACACUGUUCCAUUGCCAGACUCCGGUUUACCAAUAUGUUAGUAUCCUCAUACCGCUGUAUAGUUGUCCACUGUAAAUCUUAAACCGGUAAUACUCAUGUUUCAGAUUUUCCUUGUCAUGGCUAAACAAGUUUAUGAGUGCAAUUGAGCUCCCUCUCGAGUAACCGAGGAGCAAUUAAACAACCUUGUUAAGACGGGCGCCCUAGCCAAGAAAGAUGUCAUCCACUGGAGGGUCCCUGGCCCGGAAAAUCCUCCUACACCCAAGGAUGGAGAAGUAGUCAUGUUUGUUGAUCAUCUCGGACGAGGUUUUAGCCCUCCCGGUUCAAAAAAAUUCCGAGAUGUGCUAGCCAAUUUUCAGCUGCGCCCUCAAGACAUCGGUCCCAACUCUGUUACCAAUAUCUGCCACUUCCAAGUAUUCUGUGAAGCUUAUCUGCAAGAGGAACCUACAGUCGAACUGUUUAGGGAUUUCUUUCAUUUAAACCGUCGCACCGAGUUCUCAGAUGGACCCAAUACAGAACUGGGCGGAAUGGUGGUUCAGAAGAGAAAAGAAGUCACCUUCCCCCAUCCCAAACUCCACGGUCACCCCAAAGAGUGGAACCAAACUUGGUUUUACUGCAUGGAUACCUCUCCAUCUGACGAAAAACCCCUGCCGGGUUACCGCCCUGAACGCCUGAGCAACACACACUCAUUUCCUCAGAGGCUGACAGCAAGAGAACGGGCCAACUAUGCUCCCCAACUUUCGAAGCUUAGAGCCUUCAUGGCGAACGGUUUGACAUGAGUCGAUCUUGCUCGUUGCUGGAUAAGCUGGAGCAUUCUGCCCUUAAGCCGGCGCCCCGGUUUGAUGUGUGAGUACACGGGGAGUUUGAAGGAUGCUCAGCGGCACAUUGACAUUCAGCUUACAGAUGACGAAGUCACUGAGGCUGUAAAGAAAAUACUGAACGAACCGGAGGCCGUCUGUGCCCAAACCGGGCUACUCCCUUUCUGCACCUUCAAUAAACCACCAGCUAUAAGAAUCAUAUAAUCCUUUGUAUCUGAAUUUGCUUCUGUCCAAAUAUUCUCUGAAAGUGUGAUUAUUUUUCUGACAGGGUGAUGAUCCGUUCUGGAACAAGAAACCUUCACAAGAUAAACCGGCAAAACCGCAAGACAAAACGGUCAAGCCAGUUCAUCCAAAGACCAAGGUUGUCAAGAAACCUGCCAAGAGAAGGACCACUGCAUCCUCUGAUCUACCAGCUGAUGACAAUGUGCGUAAUCCGGAAUCAGAGGUAGAACUUGACUCUCUUGGUUUAUUUUCGUACAUCUCAUUGACAAUGAUUAUUAUCAGGACGACGCUGAAGGCAGUCACACUGAGGACGUAGAGGUAACUAUUCUUUCCUCCGAUUCAGAUCCUCUGCCAACAUCAAAAAUCCGUCAAGCAAACCGGAAAGUAAAAUUUUCUCACCCUCUUGCUUAUUUGGAUCCAAACUUUGUUUUGAAGACGCAGCAGCACGAAGCUCGCCGUACAACCCGGCACAGCGGCCAGGUAGUUACCUCCGCCGGUUUACCGAACAGUCCGGUUCGGAAACGCCGAUCAGAGGUCUCUUAUCCCAUUGAUACUUCAUGCCCAAAAGCAGGUUGUUUUCGCCAGCCUCUUAACCCAUCUGAUUCAAAUUAUCAGGGUACUUCUCACUCAUCCUCUGGCGAGUCUUCGGCCACACAGCUUCCACCUCUCAAAACAGUUCCUAGGUGAGUUAUGCACAUGUCUUUAUUCCUCAUAUGUUAUCUUUUCAUACUGUACUGAUCCUUAUGUCUUAUCUUUUCGCAGCGCCAAGCCAAGGCCCAGCAAGAAAGCUCGGUUGAACAAACCGGCUGAUAAAUAUGUAGCUGCUGAACCGGAAACAACUCCAGAUCUGGAAGAAACUAAUGCUGACGCCAUGCUUCACGAUCCGCCGCUUCAAGACCAUGAUUUCCUUGCUGAACAAGUGCAAGUUGAUACUACAAGUGAUGCAGACCGGCCAACCAGCCUUGUCUGAACUGGUGACAAACCGGUCAGUCCAACGAAGGACACUGAUAAACCGCCAACUCCGGCAAGAGCUACGGAUGAACAAGAUGAUGAUGUUAUGAUUACUGGCACUGGCCACUCCACUCCAGGCAACCCUGUAGCUUUGUCAAAGCAUACUGCCAAGGAUGAUCUCUCUGCUAUCGGCAAAGGCAAAUGGAAUGCCGAUUUAUCAAGCUUCGCCAACCUCAAUGUUUAAGACAUUCACUCUGGCUUCUUGAACCGUCUGUAUACCAGUCGUGACUAUGAAGCUAGUUUGGUAAACUUGAUGAAGGAGCGAUAUGAGGUACCUACUGCUUUUCUCCUUUGUCUAAUUUCAGUUCAUCGGCUCAUAGUAGCUCCCAAGUGACGGUUUAUGAUACCAAUCUAAACCGGGACUUUUGUCAUAACUUAACCUUGCCUAUUUAGCCUCCAGGGACCGGAUUACCUUGUUAAGUUGAACCGGUUCCUUAUAAUUUGCCAUACUUCUCUUUCGCCGGUAUAGUCCCCAAGGGCCGGUUUAACUUUAUAAAGAUGAACCGGGACUGUAGAAGAAUUCCCAUAUCAACAGCUUUUUGAGCAAACACACAUUAGCCCCCAAGUGCCAAGCUUAAUACUUGUAUUGUGUUUGGGACUUGUAAAAAUUUCUGAGUAAACACAAAUAUGCAUUAGCCCCCAAGUACUAAGGGCAUAACUUGUUAUGUGCUUGGUACUUCAAAUAUGUACUGUCAACUCAUUAUGUAUCUGUCUCUUUACAGGCGGAGCUGAGCAAGAAGGAACGCCAAACCGCUGAUCUGCAGGAGAACAUCAAAACCCAGCAAUCUGAAGCCUCCAAAGCGAAGGAAGAGUUGACCCGCGCUCUAGGCGCUAUGGAGAAACUGAAAGAGGGCUUCAACAAAGAGCGGGCGGAUUGGGAGACUGAAAAAGCCGCUUUGAUAAAAAGGGCUGAAAACGCAGAAGCCGCUCUUAAACCUGUGGUUGACGAGCUGACUGGUGUAAAGCGGCAAGUGCAUGCUAUGACCUCUGCUGUGUUUGGUAAGCAUACUUCCUUUAUGCUUUCAACAUAUCCUCUCAUGCGUUGCCGGUUUACUGAUGUUUGUAAUGAUACAGGAACCCGCAUUAGCCAUAUGGGCUCAGAUGUGCAGAAGAAGUUGAAAGCUGCCUACACGCUGAUAGAGCAACUUUAUACCGGCGUACAACGGAUUAUCUGCACCGCUUCGCACAAUAAGCCACCCCCGACGUUGAUCAAGGAUACCUUAGACAGGCUAUCUAUGCUACCUGCCCGGAUAGAAGAGCUAAAGAGGUCUGCUGCAAGGGCUGGCGCUCUGACCGCGCUAACCCGGGCAAAAGCAUGGGUGCCUGAUCUUGAUCCGACGGACGUGGCUAAAGGCUACCCAAGCUUGAAAGAGGACGGAUCAGAAUUUUGCACUGAAGAUCUCCGCGCCAUAAACCGGGAAGUACGUCCACUGGCUUGUCAACUUGCUGAAGAAGCUGAUCUUUCACAUUAUCAGGCGAGUUAUGAUAUUAAUAACAAGCGGGUUGCUGCACCAGCUCUUCAAACUCAAAGCCUGAUCCCUCCAAUCCAUAAGCACACUUAUGCCCCUGAUAUUGAACCGUCCACCCUUAUAAGCGACGAAGCUGUGUUCCAAGCUUUAACUGGGAUCGACUGGACAACUGUUGACUUCCAGCCGCUGGGUAGGGACGAAGAAGAAGCAGCAAGAUGACCCGCAGCCGUCAGGUCAAGCUACUCAGUGAUCAUAACCCGGGGGCCGGUUUAACCUUCCAUACUGCAAUGUUUAUUGAGAAACAAUUAUUCCUUUGGGUACUGAAACGCCUUGUAAUAGGCUAGUUAAAACACUUGGUCUGUUAUGCCUUCAUGCAUAUUUAUCAGCAACUGAUGUGUGUUAAUCCGCCAUGCUUUGCGAUAUGAUGUUCAUAAUCCAUAGCUAUUUAUUCCAAUUGUUCCUGCAGAUAAAAAGCUUAAAGCGCCCUGGCGGUUUACCACCGGGCGGGUCAUGAUACCCAACUAUAUAUAUGACCAAGUUUUAUAACCAAGGUUGUCAAAGAUAACCAAGUAUGGAAAUAUAUGAUACCUGCGACCUUUAGGCAUAGUGUUGGCUGACCAACCUUGUAAUGAAGGUAAUAACCUUAAUCCGGAGUAAAAGUAUCUCCUAUUAUAUAAUGCCGGUUUACAACAAAACCGUUCCGGGUUGUGAUAAACACCGGCUUAUUCUAUACUGGUGACUAUGAGUCAAAACCAGACCGGGCUGAUAGUCUCCGGAUUAUAACUUGGUCAUGUACUGACAACUUGUAGUUGACAGCCCAACCGGGUUGAAAAAUACUGGUUUGAAAACAUCACAAAUCUUAGCAAAAGAAAAAGAAACUUAGCAAAAGACAAAUAAAACCGUUGUAGUCGAGGCUUUUCAUGGGCUGCCAGGCCCCAAAUUUGAUCAAGAGGUGUUGCUAUGGUUCGGGUUCGACCAAGCCCCCAAAUGAUGUUGUGGCAUUACGCCGAUCAAAAGGCAUUGCUAUGGUUCGGGUUCGACCAAGCCCCCAAGUGAUUAUGUGGCUUUACGCCGAUCAAGAGGCGUAGUCAUGGUUCGGGUUCGACCGUGCUCCCAAGUGAUGCUGUGGCAUUACGCCGAUCAAGAGGCGUGGCUAUGGUUCGGAUACGACCAAGCCCCCAAGUGAUUCUGUGACUUUACGCCGAUCAAGAGGCGUAGUCAUGGUUCGGGUUCGACCAUGCUCCCAAGUGAUGCUGUGGCAUUACGCCGAUCAAGAGGUGUAGCUAUGGUUUGGAUACGACCAAGCCCCCAAGUGAUCUGAUAUCAAGCUUUAAGAAGCUAAAUCAAGGGGUAAACCGGACGCCGCUUUGUAAGCUCCAUGUAACCACACGUGAUGUAAGAAAACAACAGAUACCCCGCUUUAGCUGAGGUUCCGGUUUAUUAUAUUGAUCAUAAUAUAUACAAUGUCAUAAUAUGUACAUAAGCAGAUCCUGUAGCUCAAGUAUAGUAGGGUCGAAGAUGAGCAAUAUUCCACGGCCGGUUGGUCUCCUCCUCCGAUUUACGUGAGUCUUUGCGCUCUCGAACAUCGAUUAGGUAGUACGACCCAUUGUGCAAAUCCUUGCUAGCCACAAAAGGCCCUUCCCAAGGGGGGAUAGCUUGUGCAUAUCCGUCUGAGCCUGGAUGAGUCGAAGCACCAAAUCUCCUUCUUGAAAGGUUCUGGUUCUAACCCGGCGGCUAUGAUAACGACACAGAUCUUGCUGAUAAAUCGCCUAAUGGGCUGCCGCCAUGUCACGCUCCUCAUCUAACAGGUCAAGAGCUUCCUGCCGUGCCUUCUCGUUAUCCGCUUCAACAUAUGCCGCUACACGAGGCGAGUCAUGACGGAUGUCACUAGGAAGAACCGCUUCCGCUCCGUAAACCAUGAAGAACGGCGUGUAGCCUGUCGAUCUGUUGGGUGUGGUAUUGAUGCUCCAAAACACUGAAGGUAACUCCUCAACCCAACAACCUGGCGUACGUUGCAAAGGAACCAUAAGCCGGGGUUUGAUGCCUCUCAAGAUCUCUUGAUUGGCCCUCUCCGCUUGACCAUUGGACUGGGGGUGAGCCACUGAUGACACGUCAAGCCGGAUGUGCUCACGUUGACAGAACUCCUUCAUGGCACCGUUUGACAGAUUGGUACCAUUGUCUGUUAUAAUGUUGUGUGGAAAGCCAAACCGGAAGAUCACCUUUUUGAUGAAUUGAACUGCCGUGGCUGCAUCACACUUACUAACUGGCUCUGCCUCCACCCAUUUUGUGAACUUAUCAACCGCCACCAAAAGGUGGGUCUUCUUGUCUUGGACCUCUUGAAAGGCCCAACCAUAUCCAGCCCCCAAGUUCGGCCAGGUGAUUGGAAUCAUCCUCAAUUCUUGAGCUGGUACAUGAACACGCCGUGAGAAUUUCUGACAGCCAUCACAUCUUUUAACCAAGUCCUCGGCAUCAGCAUGAGCUGUCAACCAAUAAAAACCGUGACGAAACGCCUUGGCCACCAAAGAUUUUGAACCGGCAUGGUGCCCACAAUCUCCUUCGUGGAUCUCACGCAAAAUUUCAUGGCCUUCCUCAGGAGAUACACAGCGUUGAAACACCCCUGUCACACUGCAAUGAUGUAGCUCUGCAUUGAUAAUAGUAAUGGAUUUGGACCGCCGGGUUAUCUGUCUGGCCAAAGUUUCAUCCUCUGGUAACUCGCCCCGGUUUAUAUACGCCAGAUACGGAACCGUCCAAUCCGGGAUAAUAUGUAGAGCUACCACCAACUGAGCCUCCGGAUCAGGAACAGCCAAAUCCUCUUCACCAUGGAGCUUGACGGACGGAUUAUGCAAAACGUCCAGAAAAACAUUAGGUGGAACCGGUUUACGUUGGGAACCCAGGCGGCUUAAAGCGUCUGCCGCUUCAUUCUUCCGCCGGUCCACAUGAUCCACCUGAUAACCUUUGAAGUGACCUGCAACAAUAUCCACCUCACGACGAUAUGCUGCCAUCAGUGGGUCCUUGGAAUCCCAACUGCCAGACACUUGUUGAGCCACCAGAUCCGAGUCACCGAAGCAUUUAACUCGGCUGAGAUUCAUCUCCUUAGCCAUCCGUAGACCAUGGAGUAAGGCCUCAUAUUCAGCUGCAUUAUUAGUGCAAGGGAACAUUAAACGGAGAACAUAACAAAACUUAUCACCUCGUGGGGAAGUUAACACGACUCCAGCCCCCGAGCCCUCCAAUUGCCUGGACCCAUCAAAAUAAAUAGUCCAAUAAGUGUGAUCCGGCUUCUCUUCUGGCGCUUGUAAUUCUGUCCAAUCAUUGAUGAAAUCCACAAGUGCCUGAGAUUUGAUCGCCGUUCGGGGUAUGUAUUUCAACCCGUGAGGCCCGAGCUCGAUAGCCCACUUAGCAAUUCGACCAGUUGCCUCGCUAUUCUGGAUUAUAUCCCCCAAAGGAGCAGAGCUGACCACCGUGAUGGGAUGACCUUGGAAAUACUGCUUAAGCUUCCGGCUUGCCAUGAAAACCCCAUACACCAAUUUUUGCCAAUGCGGGUACCUCUGCUUGGAUACAAUGAGUACCUCACUAAUAUAGUAAACCGGCCGCUGAACCGGAUAUUCCUUUCCUGCCUCCUUGCGCUCCACCACAAUAGCCACACUAACAGCCCGAGCGUUAGCUGCCACAUAUAGCAGCAACGGUUCUUUAUCAACCGGAGCAGCGAGAAUCGGCGGAUUAGCUAGCUGUUGCUUUAAGUCCUCAAAUGCUUCAUUAGCGGCGUCACUCCAGAUGAAGUUAUCCGUUUUCUUCAGCAUCUGAUACAAAGGAAUGGCCUUCUCACCAAGACGACUGACAAACCGGCUUAACACGGCAAUCCGGCCUGCCAGGCGUUGAACAUCUUUGACACACUUUGGUUUAGCCAAGGAGGUGAUGACCUUGAUCUUUUCCGGAUUAGCUUCAAUGCCCCUGUUAGACACCAAAAAACCCAAGAGCUUGCCUGCAGGUACACCAAAGACGCACUUGGCCGGAUUAAGCAUCAUUUUAUAAACCCGCGGGUUAUCAAAGGUUUCCUUCAAGUCAUCAAUCAAUGUCUCCUUUUUCCUUGAUUUCACCACAAUAUCAUCCACAUAGGCGUGAACAUUGCGGCCGAUCUGUUUAUGAAGACAAUUCUGCACACACCGUUGAUAAGUUGCCUGUGCACUCUUGAGCCCAAAGGGCAUGGACACAUAGCAGAAGGCUCCAAAGGGAGUUAUGAAGGCCGUCUUCUCCUGGUCCUUAACUGCCAUCUUGAUCUGAUGAUAACCAGAAUAUGCAUCCAAAAAACUUAACCGCUCACAACCCGCCGUAGCAUCAAUAAUCUGAUCAAUACGGGGGAGGGCAAAAGGAUCUGCUGGACAAGCUUUGUUGAGAUCUGUGUAGUCCACACACAUACGCCAAGUGCCAUUCUUCUUGAGGACCAGCACCGGAUUAGCCAACCACUCAGGAUGGAAUACUUCAACAAUAAAUCCAGCCGCCAAGAGCCUGGCUACUUCUUCUCCAAUAGCUUUGCGUCUUUCUUCAUUGAACCGGCGGAGAAACUGCUUGACCGGUUUAUACUUAGGAUCAACAUUGAGGGCGUGCUCAGCGAGUUCUCUCGGUACACCAGACAUGUCAGAAGGCUUCCAUGCAAAGAUGUCCCGAUUCUCACGGAUGAACUCGAUGAGCGCGCUUUCCUAUUUCGGAUCCAAGUUAGCGCUGAUGCUAAACUGCUUGGACGAAUCGCCCGGCACGAAGUCAACAAGUUUAGUCUCAUCAGCCAAUUUAAACUUCAGGGCCGGAUCAUGCUCCGCAGUUGGUUUCUUCAAUGAAGUCAUAUCUGCCGGAUCAACAUUGUCUUUGUAAAACUUCAACACCUCUGUUGCACAAACCGACUCAACAUAAGCCGCAUCACCUUCCUCACAUUCCAGGGCAAUCUUGCGGCUCCCAUGCAUGGUUAUAGUUCCCUUGUGACCCGACAUCUUGAGCUGUAGAUAGACAUAACAAGGUCGUGCCAUAAACUUAGCAUAAGAUGGCCGUCCAAAUAGGGCAUGAUACGGGCUUCUGAUUUUCACCACUUCAAAGGUCAAGGUUUCUGAUCUCGAGUCAUGCUCAUCUCCAAAAGCCACCUCCAGAGCUAACUUACCAACAGGAUAUGCCAACUUACCAGGCACCACACCAUGGAACACCGUAUUGGACGGUUUAAGAUUUUUAUCUGUUAGCCCCAUGCGACGGAAAGUUUCAUAAUAAAGGAUAUUGAUACUACUCCCUCCAUCCAUGAGUACCUUAGUGAAGUUAUAACCUCCCACCUGAGGUGCCACCACCAGAGCCAGAUGACCCGGAUUGUCAACCCGGGGUGGAUGAUUGUCUCUACUCCACACAAUGGGCUGCUCGGACCAGUGCAAAUAACGGGGCACCGCCGGUUCAACGGCAUUCACCAUCCCCUUAUGAAGCUUCUGAUCGCGCUUGUCCAAGCUAGUGGUGAAGACAUGAUACUGUCCGCUAUUCAACUGCUUCAGGUUGCUCUGGUAACACGACUGCUGCUACUGCUGAUUGCCCUGAUGAUUAUAGCCACCUUGGUUACCUUGAUUACUUUGAUUGUUGUGUCCACCCUGAUUGCCAUGGAAUCCCGAACCGGAAUUUCCUCCGCCAUAACCCGGCCCAUGAGAGCCAGAGCCCGAACCGCCUCCUGAUCCAUGAUCAUACCGGAAAGAGUCAGAAUUUUUGAACUCUUGCAUGAUAUAAUAAUCUUUCCAGAGGUGUGUAGAUGGUUCCUCCUUCGUCCCAUGCUUUGGACAGGGCUGGUUCAACAGAUACGACAAACGGUCCGGAUUAGGAUUCGGCAUUCCAUUCCGCCGGGGCGGUUUACCCUUACGCCGCUGGCCCUUGUCGUGCGUAUUAGUGUUAGCCACAAAGUCUAAACCGUGGUCCGCUUUACGCUUGCCGCCGUUUCCAUGACCCGCCGGGUUGUGGUGCUGCCCCUUGGCGUUGCCGCUCCUCUUUCCCUUCCAUGUCUUGUCAUCGUCAGACUCGGGAUCCUUGGUACUAUCAGAGUCGGCAUACUUCACCAGUGCAGUCAUGAGGGUUCCCAUGUCAUUACAAUGACGUUUGAGCCGUCCCGACUUCAACUUCAAGGGCUGAAACCGGCAAUUGCCUUCCAAUGUUAAAACUGCGAUGUCAGCGUUGAUGCGGUCUGAUGAAUGCAAAAUCUCCGAAACCCGGUGCACCGAAUGGGUUGUUGACUCUCCUUCCUCGUGGACACAGGCAGCUAAGUCCACAAUUUACAUGGGCUGCUUGCAUGUAUCCUUGAAAUUCUGAACAAACCGGGCUCUCAACUCAGCCCAUGACCUGAUAGAAUUAGCCGGUAAACUCUUUAGCCAAGUGCGGGUCGUUCCUUCUAGCAUCAUGGUGAACUACUUCGCACAUUCCGCAUCAUCCACGUCCAGCAUCUCCAUGGCCAUCUCAUAGCUUACAACCCAUGUUUCAGGGGAUAAAUCAGCGGUGUAAUUCGGCACCUUGCGCGGGCCCUUGAAAUCUUUGGGCAGGCGCACAUUACGCAACGCCGGGACAAGACAUGGCACUCCCAAGGAACUAGAGGUAACUCCUGGUUCCACCGAUGUGGUUGGACGAACCGGAGUAAGCUGACGGGCCUCGUGCUGCGCUGCUAACUCGGCCUCUCUGCGUGCCCGAGCCCGGUCCACCACAUCCUGAGCAUCACCGGCACCACCCGCCGGGUUAUGGCCACGGGGCGGAUCACGGUUCCGCGCAUUGCUUGACACUGCCGGUUCAUCCAUACUCCUGCUGUAACUCCGGCUUGGACGGGGAGUGGAAUGAAUCCGAUCGCGACUAUAUGAAUAAGCCUCCUGUUGAAUCAAGGCUGUCUGAAGAAGCUCCUUAACCCGACGCGUCUCGACCGCUGCUGGAGAAUCGCCUUCGAUCGGGAUGGCCGCCAAUCGUGAAGCGGCAGCGACAAUGUUGUCCAUUGGGUUAGAAUAAUGACCCGGUGGUGUGGGGACAUGAGGUACCACAACGUUGUUCUGACGAGGCGGAUCCACCAAACGUGGCUGAACCGGCGCCCCUGCUCCGGGUGCCUCUGCCCGGUUUACCACGGCGGAUUACUGGUUCCUGCCCCUGGGGUGUUAAAGAGAUUUCUAGCGUCGUAAACCGACGGCAGGCGAGAUCGGUGCCUCCUCUUCAGGACUUCGUUCGACGCACUCUGAUCUAGCAUAAUCCGGUAAGCUUGUGCAUCCAAAGCGGCCCGCUCCGCGGCUAUCCAGGUAUCCUCAGCUGCUAAGUCGGCUUUUGCCUGGGUGAUCUGAUCUUUCACUUUCGCGAUUUCUGCAUUGUGUACAUCCUGAUCCGCCGGGUUAACCUCUGCCAUCAGCGUUGCCAACACAUCAAACAAAUCAGAUAGAACUUGAGUUGGCAGUCGCACAGGGCCUCCUGCCCCAGCCGCUACCGCCGCUGCUGACCCGGAAAUCAUCGCCGCUGCGGUUGAAGAGUGGAGCGCUGGUUGCGUGCCGGCCAUGAAGAUCGCCACCCGGUUUGGCAGAUCGAAGGGGUCCGGAAUACUGUCGCCAUCGGAACAGUCCCCAAUCCGGCCAUCUUGUAACUGAUAUAACGACUUGGUCUCUCCAGUCGAUGACUCGUCGCCGGAAUAAACGACGGUCUCACCACCAGAUUCCGAUCUAUCCUCAGAUUCACCUCCAUGGAUAACUCCCACGAAGGCACGCUUCAUGACAGGCUUGACCCGGGCAGAUCUCGCACGCUGAGCCGUUUCGACGAGGUCGGUGCAGAUGUCCGGCUCAGGGCCCGGUUCACCGAUCUUGCCAAUGAAAAUGUGUAUGCCACCAAAGGGGACCCGGUACCCAUACUCGAUUGAGCCGGCCUCGGGGCCCCAGCCUGCAUCGUCGAUGUAGAGCUUGCCGCGAUGACUCUUGGUCAUCCGGCCCACAACGUAACCCUUGAGUCCUUCGAAGCUGCCCUCCAAGAACUUGAAACCAUCGUGUGAUUGCCCCACAGUGGGCGCCAACUGUCGUGGUUUUGUCACACCAGAUGUCCUAGAGAAAGGACUUAGUCAUGGAGCCAUCGCUAUGGGUUAGCUCGAAGGGGUUAAAGCGGACAAGGGACGCAAGAGAUUUUUAUACUAGUUCGGCCCCUUCGAUGAAGGUAAAAGCCUACGUCUAGUUGUGAUGGAAUUGAUGGGGUUUUGAUGACCAGGGAGCGAAUACGCUUUGCCUGAGUCUCGAGUUGUUGUCUGUUCUUCCUGAACCGCCGCCGGGUCGUCCCCUUAUAUACAUGGGUUGACGCCUGUCGGUUUACAGACUCCGAGGCCGGCUCAUAAUCGUGUCCGGCUUGGUCUCUGCUACGCAUAUCUUACAACACAAGUUUACAUCUCAAUGCCGGUUUGUGUCCACAUGCCUUAAACCGGCUUUGGGCCCUGGGCCUCCAUGAAGCGUCAUCGUCUGUCUUCAUGGGCUUCAGAUACAGAUGAACUACUUAUGAAGUUAACCCGGCCUCUCCUGGCCGGUUUACGCCCAGUGGUAAUAUCCCCAACAACGAGUGAUCGACAUUGGUUGACGAACCAAUUGUCGAGGAGAAUAGGGCGAAGAGAGUUUAUCUUCUAUGUUAAAUAAUAACCCCUCCAACCAGACGUAGUCCUUGUGAAGAAGGACGAACUGGUCUACCAAAUUCCUUGUCGCCAUCGAGCAUCACUGGUUACCUUUGCUUCUCCUCUUUACAUUCGAAUUGUUUCAAUCAUGUGAUUUGUCUCGAUGCAUGCUUUUAGUUUCCAUUUGUUAGCUUGUAUUCGCUCGUUGUACACUGUUUUCAUUCGCUCCGCUGCUGGGUUCCGAGAGUUUUGAGAUUUCCGAAGAAAUUUUAAAACUCCCAUUCACCCCCCCCCCCUCUGGUACACAUACUUCGUUCCUACAGGCUUGCUGGAGAAAGGGCCAUUUGACCUUCUCAUACGCUUUCUCAAAGUCCACUUUGAAUAUAACACCAUCUAGUUUCUUCGUGUCGAUUUCAUGGAGAGUUUCAUGUAAGACGACAACCCCUUCGAGGAUGUGUCGUCCUGGCAUGAACGCGGUUUGGGUUGGUUGAACUACUGAAUGAGCUAUCCGUGUUAACCUAUUCAUGCCAACCUUGGUAAAGAUCUUGAAGCUUACAUUGAGAAGACAGAUCGGCCUGAAUUGCUCAAUGCCAAUUGCCUCCACCUUCUUUGGCAACAACGUUAGUGUUCCAAAAUUUAAGUGGAAUAACUGUAAGUGACCAUCAAACAAGUCCUGGAACAAAGGCAUAAGAUCUCCCUUGAUGAUAUACCAACACCGCUUAUAAAAUUCCGUCGGGAACCCAUCCAGUCCAGGGGCUUUAUUUUGUUUCAUUUGUGAUAUUGCAUCAAACACCUCUUUCUCAGUGAAAGGAGCAGACAGCACCUCAUUCUCGUCGGAGCUAAGCUAAGGUAUGUCCCCGAUCUCGCUCUCAUCUAGGGAUAUAGAAUUUUCAUAUGUUGCUCCGAAAAUCUUCUUAUAAUAACUGGAGAUGUACAGUUUGAGGUUCUCAUGCCCUACAAUCGUACCCUCAUCUUGUUCAAGUUGAAUAAUUUUCUUUUUCCUAUGUCUCCCAUUAGCUAUGAGAUGAAAUAAUUGGGUAUUAUCAUCCCCUUGGACUAUCUUAGAUACCUUCGCUCUAACUGCCCAUUUCAUCUCCUCUUCUCGCAGAAGAGCUUGUAACUUCUUCUCCGCCUCAUUCUUAAUAUUCCAGUCAGACAUAUGAAGAAGUGAGGUUUCCGAUCUCAAAUCAAGCUCAUUAAUAAUUUGUAUCAGUCUUCUUUUCUACUUUAUAUAAACCACUUUGAUUCUUGGCCCAUCCUCUCAAGAAUUGGCGCAAGUGUCUAAUCUUGUUUUGCCAUCUAUCAAUAUUUGAUAUCCCACCCGACUCCUUGGCCCAUUCGGCUGCAAUGAGAUCAAGGAAGCCUUCCCUUUCAAACCAUCCUAAUUCAAAAGAGAAAUUUUUUCUGUUGCCCACAUGUGUCGCUUCCCCCAGAAUCGACCAAUAGUGGAGUGUGAUCAGAAAUAGCCCUUUGUAGGGCAUGAACCGUUACCAAAGGAAAUUUCUGUUCCCACUCAACACUAGUGAGAACCCGGUCUAAUUUCUCAUAAGUAGGUACUGGUAAAGAAUUAGCCCAUGUGAAUUGUCUCCCACUAAGGUCAAUCUCCCUCAAAUCAAGACUUUCAAUGAUUGUAUUAAACAUGAAUGACCAUCUCCCAUCGAAAUUGUUAUUAUUUUUUCGUCUUGUCUUCUAAUUAUAUUGAAGUCUUCCCCCCACCAAAAUGGGAAGUCUUUCAUCACCACAAAUUCUCACCAGAUCCGCUAGGAAAUCCAGUUUGAGCUCUGGCUGGGCCGCACCAUAUACAGCCACCAAAGCCCAUCUGAAGCCAUCAACUUUCGACCGUACUCAAAAUUUGACGAUAAAAUCUCUAUAAACCACAUUUAACACUUCUAAAGAUUCGCACUUCACCCCGAGUAGGAUCCCACAGGACCGACCCCUUGGAGGUAGAACGUGCCAGUCAAAAUCAACCCCACUGGAAAUUGUGUUUAGGAAUUACAAAGUGUAAUUAUCUCUUCAUGUUUCUAAUAGAGCCAUAAAAUCCAAUUUAUGCUCUAUCGCGGUUUCUUGACAUGGCUUGAGACAGCGUUGGUAUUUCCCCAAAGAGGAAGGGAUGAUGCAGCAUAGCUACGGUAAGUAUUUCCCUCAGUUAUGAAACCAAGGUAUCAAUCCAGUAGGAGAACCAAACAACACUAUUUAAACGGUACCUGCACACAAAGAACAAAUACUUGCAACUCGACGCGUAAGUGUUGGGGAACGUAGCAUGCAAUUUCAAAAAAAUUCCUACGAUCACGCAAGAUCUAUCUAGGAGAUACAUAGCAACGAGAGGGGAAGAGUGUGUCCACGUACCCUCGUAGACCGAAAGCGGAAGUGUUAGCCUAACGCGGUUGAUGUAGUCGAACGUCUUCGUGAUCCAACCGAUCAAGCACCGACAUACGGCACCUCCGAGUUCUGCACACGUUCAGCUCGAUGACGUCCCUCGAACUCUUGUUCCAGCAAAGUGUCGAGGGAGAAUUUCUUCAGCACGACGGUGUGGUGACGGUGAUGGUGAUGUGAUCCGCGCAGGGCUUCGCCUAAGCACUACGACAAUAUGGACGGAGGAGUAAACUGUGGAGGGGACACCGCACAUGGCUAAGAGAACAAUUGAUGUGCUUUGGGGUGCCCCCCUGCCCCUGUAUAUAAAGGAUGAGAGGGAGGAGGCCGGCCAUAGGGGGGAACCGACUUGGACUCCUAGUCCUAUUCGCCCCCCCCCCCCCCCCCCAAUUCCUUCUUACAGAGGGGGGAAGGGGGAAGGAGAGGAGAGGGAGAAGGAAAGGGGGGCCGCGUCCCCUCCCCUUGUCCUAUUCGGACUCCCCUUGGGGGGAGCUCCACCCCCUUGUAGGCUGCCCUCUCUCUCCCCUAUGGCCCAUGAGGCCCAAUACUUUCCCCGGGGGGUUCCGGUAACCCCUCGGUACUCCGAUAAAUAUCCGAAACACUCCGAAACCAUUCCGUGUCCGAAUACUAUCGUCCGAUAUAUCAAUAUUUACCUCUCGACCAUUUCGAGGCUCCUCGUCAUGUCCGUGAUCUCAUCCGGGACUCCGAACAAUCUUCGGUCACCAAAACACAUAACUCAUAAUACAAAUCGUCAUCGAACAUGUAAGCGUGCAGGCCCUACGGGUUCGAGAACUAUGUAGACAUGACCGAGAAAUAUCUCCGGUCAAUAACCAAUAGCGGAACCUGGAUGCUCAUAUUGGUUCCUACCUAUUCUACGAAGAUCUUUAUCGGUCAAACCGCAAUGACAACAUACAUUAUUCCCUUUGUCAUCGGUAUGUUACUUGCCUGAGAUUCGAUCGUUGGUAUCCUCAUACCUAGUUCAAUAUCGUUACCGGCAAGUCUCUUUACUCGUUCCGUAAUGCAUCAUCCCGCAACUAACUCAUUAGUCACAUUACUUGCAAGGCUUAUCGUGAUGUGCAUUACCGAGAGGGCCCAGAGAUACCUCUUCGAUACUCGGAGUGGCAAAUCCUAAUCUUGAUCUAUGCCAACCCAACAAACACCUUCGGAGACACUCGUAGAGCAUCUUUAUAAUCACCCAGUUACGUUGUGACGUUUGAUAGCACACAAGGUGUUCGUGCGGUAUUCGGGAGUUGCAUAAUAUCAUAGUCAUAGGAAUAUGUAUAAGUCAUGAAGAAAGCAAUCACAAUAAAACUUAAUGAUCAGUAUGCUAAGCUAACGGAUGGGUCUUGUCCAUCACAUCAUUCUCUAAUGAUGUGAUCCCGUUCAUCAAAUGACAACACAUGUCUAUGGUCAGGAAACUUAACCAUCUUUGAUUAACGAGCUAGUCAAGUAGAGGCAUACUAGGGACACUUUUUUUUGUCUAUGUAUUCACACAUGUAUCAAGUUUCUGGUUAAUAUAAUUCUAGCAUGAAUAAUAAACAUUUAUCAUGAUAUAAGGAAAUAUAAAUAACAACUUUAUUAUUGCCUCUAGGGCAUAUUUCUUUCAGUCUCCCACUUGCACUUGAAUCAAUAAUCUAGAUUACAUUGUAAUGAUUCUAACACCCAUGGAGUCUUGGUUUUGAUCAUGUUUUGCUCAUGGAAGAGGCUUACUCAAUGGGUUUGCAACAUUCAGAUCCGUAUGUAUUUUGCAAAUCUCUAUGUCUCCCUCCUUGACUUGAUCACGGAUGGAGUUGAAGCGUCUCUUGAUGUGUUUGGUUCUCUUGUGAAAUCUGGAUUCCUUCGCUAAGGCAAUUGCUCCAGUAUUGUCACAAAAGAUUUUCAUUGGACCUGAUGCACUAGGUAUUACACCUAGAUCGGAUAUGAACUCCUUCAUCCAGACUCCUUCAUUUGCUGCUUCCGAAGCAGCUAUGUACUCCGCUUCACACGUAGAUCCCGCCACGACGCUUUGCUUGGAACUGCACCAACUGACAGCUCCACCAUUCAAUAUAAAUACGUAUCCGGUUUGCGACUUAGAUUCAUCCGGGUCAGUGUCAAAACUAGCAUCGACGUAACCAUUUAUGACGAGCUCUUUGCCACCUUCAUAAACGAGAAACAUAUCCUUAGUCCUUUUCAGGUAUUUCAGGAUGUUCUUGACCGUUGUCCAAUGAUCCACUCCUGGAUUACUUUGGUACCUCCAUACUAAACUUAUAGCAAAGCACACAUCAGGUCUGGUACAUAGCAUUGCAUACAUGAUAGAACCUAUGGCUGAGGCAUAGGGAAUGACUUUCAUUUUCUCUCUAUCUUCUACAGUGGUCGGGCAUUGAGUCUGACUCAACUUCACACCUUGUAACACAUGCAAGAACCAUUUUUUGACUGAUCCAUUUUGAACUUCUUCAAAACGUUAUGAAGGUAUGUGCUUUGUGAAAGUCCAAUUAAGCGUCUUGAUCUAUCCCUAUAGAUCUUGAUGCCCAAUAUAUAAGCAGCUUCACCGAGGUCUUUCUUUAAAAAAUUCUUAUUCAAGUAUCCUUUUAUGAUAUCCAGAAAUUCUAUAUCAUUUCCAAUCAACAAUAUGUCAUCCACAUAUAAUAUUAGAAAUGCUACAGAGCUCCCACUCACUUUCUUGUAAAUACAGGCUUCUCCAAAAGUCUGUAUAAAACCAUAUGCUUUGAUCACACUAUCAAAGCGUAUAUUCCAACUCUGGGAGGCUUGCACCAGUCCAUAAAUGGAUCGCUGGAGCUUGCACACUUUGUUAGCACCUUUAGGGUCGACAAAACCUUCUGGUUGCAUCAUAUAAAACUCUUCUUUAAGAAAUCCAUUAAGGAAUGCAGUUUUCACAUCCAUUUGCCAAAUUUCGUAAUCAUAAAAUGCGGCAAUUGCUAACGUGAUUCAGACAGACUUAAGCAUCGCUACGAGUGAGAAGGUCUCAUCGUAGUCAACUCCUUGAACUUGUCGAAAACCUUUCGCAACAAGUCGAGCUUUGUAGAUAGUAACAUUACCAUCAACGUCAGUAUUCUUCUUGAAGAUCCAUUUAUUUUCUAUGGCUUGCCGAUCAUCGGGCAAGUCAACCAAAGUCCAUACUUUGUUUUCAUACAUGGAUCCCAUCUCAGAUUUCAUGGCCUCAAGCCAUUUCGCAGAAUAUGGGCUCAUCAUCGCUUCCUCAUAGUUCGUAGGUUCAUCAUGGUCUAGUAACAUGACUUCCAGAACAAGAUUACCGUACCACUCUGGUGCGGAACGUACUCUGGUUGACCUACGAGGUUCGGUAGUAACUUGAUCUGAAGUUUCAUCAUCAUCAUCAUUAACUUCCUCACUAAUUGGUGUAGGCAUCACUGGAACUGAUUUCUGUGAUGAACUACUUUCCAACUCGAGAGAAGGUACAAUUACCUCAUAAAGUUCUACUUUCCUCCCACUCACUUCUUUUGAGAGAAACUCCUUCUCUAGAAAGGAUUCAUUCUUAGCAACAAAUAUCUUGCCUUCGGAUCUGUGAUAGAAGGUGUACCCAACAGUUUCUUUUGGGUAUCCUAUGAAGACGCACUCCUCCGAUUUGGGUUCGAGCUUAUCAGGCUGAAGCUUUUUCACAUAAGCAUCGCAACCCCAAACUUUAAGAAACGACAGAUUAGGUUUCUUGCCAAACCACAGUUCAUAUGGUGUGGUCUUAGCGGAUUUAGAUGAUGCCCUAUUUAACGUGAAUGCAGUCGUCUCUAAUGCAUAACCCUAAAACGAUAGUGGUAAAUUGGUAAGAGACAUCAUAGAUCACACCAUAUCAAAUAAAGUACAGUUACGACGUUCGGACACACCAUUACGCUGUGGUGUUCUAGGUGGCGUGAGUUGUGAAACUAUUCCACAUUGUUCCAAAUGAAGACCAAACUCGUAACUCAAAUAUUCACCUCCGCGAUCAGAUCAUAGAAACUUUAUUUUCUUGUUACGAUGAUUUUCCACUUCACUCUGAAAUUCUUUGAACUUUUCAAAUGUUUCAGACUUAUGUUUCAUUAAGUAGAUAUACCCAUAUCUGCUCAAAUCAUCUGUGAAGGUCAGAAAAUAACGAUACCCGCCGCGAGCCUCAACACUCAUCGGACCGCAUACAUCAGUAUGUAUUAUUUCCAAUAAGUCAGUGGCUCGCUCCAUUGUUCCGGAGAACGGAGUCUUAGUCAUCUUGCCCAUGAGGCAUGGUUCGCAAGAAUCAAGUGAUUCAUAAUCAACAGAUUCCAAAACCCCAUCUGCAUGGAGUUUCUUCAUGCACUUUACACCAAUAUGACCUAAACGGCAGUGCCACAAAUAAGUUGCACUAUCAUUAUUAACUUUGCAUCUUUUGGCAUCAAUAUUAUGAAUGUGUGUAUCACUACGAUUGAGAUUCAACAAAAAUAGACCACUCAUCAAGGGUGCAUGACCAUAAAAGAUAUUACUCAUAUAAAUAGAACAACCAUUAUUCUCUGAUUUAAAUGAAUAACCGUCUCGCAUCAAACAAGAUCCAGAUAUAAUGUUCAUGCUCAACGCUGGCACCAAAUAACAAUUAUUUAGGUCUAAAACUAAUCCCGAAGGUAGAUGUAGAGGUAGCGUGCCGACGGCGAUCACAUCGACCUUGGAACCAUUUCCGACGCGCAUCGUCACCUCGUCCUUAGCCAAUCUUUGUUUAAUCUGUAGCCCCUAUUUCGAGUUGCAAAUAUGAGCAACAGAACCAGUAUCAAAUACCCAGGCGCUACUACGAGCAUUGGUAAGGUACACAUCAAUAACAUGUAUAUCAAAUAUACCUUCCACUUUUCUAUCCUUCUUAUCCGCCAAAUACUUGGGGCAGUUCCGCUUCGAGUGACCAGUCCCUUUGCAGUAGAAGCACUCAGUUUCAGGCUUAGGUCCAGACUUGGGCUUCUUCCCGGGAGCAGCAACUUGCUUGCUAUUCUUCUUGAAGUUCCCCUUCUUACCUUUGCCCUUCUUCUUAAAACUAGUGGUCUUAUUAAUCAUCAACACUUGAUGCUCCUUCGUGAUUUCUACCUCGGCGGCCUUAAGCAUUGUGAAGAGCUCGGGAAUUGUCUUUUCCAUCCCUUGCAUAUUAUAGUUCAUCACGAAGCCUUUGUAGCUUGGUGGCAGUGAUUGAAGAACUCUGUCAAUAACACUAUCAUCCGAAAGAUUAACUCCCAGCUGAGUCAAGUGGUUAUGGUACCCAGACAUUCUGAGUAUGCGUUCACUGACAGAACUGUUCUCCUCCAUCUUGCAGCUAUAGAACUUGUUGGAGACUUCAUUUCUCUCAACUGAGGCAUUUCCUUGAAAUAUUAACUUCAACUCCUGGAACAUCUCAUAUGCUCCAUGACGUUCAAAACGUCUUUGAAGUCCCGAUUCUAAGCCGUAAAGUAUGACACACUGAAUUAUCGAGUAGUCAUCAGAUUUAGCUUGCCAGACGUUCAUAACGUCCGGAGUUGCUCCUGUAGCAGGCCUUGCACCUAGCGGUGCUUCAAGGACGUAAUUCUUCUGUGCAGCAAUGAGGAUAAUCCUCAAGUUACGGACCCAGUCCGUGUAGUUUCUACCAUCAUCUUUCAACUUAGCUUUCUCUAGGAACCCAUUAAAAUUCAAGGGAACGGUAGCACGGGCCAUUGAUCUACAACAUAGAUAUGCAAAAACUAUCAGGACUAAGUUCAUGACAAAUUUAAGUUCAAUUAAUCAUAUUACUAAAGAACUCCCACUUAGAUAGACAUCCCUCGAGUCAUCUAAAUGAUCACGUGAUCCAUAUCAACUAAACCAUGUCCGAUCAUCACGUGAGAUGGAGUAGUUUUCAAUGGUGAACAUCUCUAUGUUGAUCAUAUCUACUAUAUGAUUCAAGUUUGACCUUUCGGUCUCAGUGUUCUGAGGUCAUGUCUGUACAUGCUAGGCUCGUUAAGUUUAACCCGAGUAUUCCGCACGUGCAAAACUGUCUUGCACCCGUUGUAUGUGAAUGUAGAGCUUAUCACACCUGAUCAUCACGUGGUGUCUUGGCACGACGAACUAUCGCAACGGUGCAUACUCAGGGAGAACACUUAUACCUUGAAAUUUAGUGAGGGAUCAUCUUAUAAUGCUACCGCCGUACUAAGCAAAAUAAGAUGCAUAAAAGAUAAACAUCACAUGCAAUAAAAAAUAUGUGACAUGAUAUGGCCAUCACCAUCUUGUGCCUUUGAUCUCUAUCUCCAAAGCACCGUCAUGAUCUCCAUCAUCACCGGCUUGACACCUUGAUCUCCAUCGUAGCGUUGUUGUCGUCUCGCCAACUAUUGCUUCUACAACUAUCGUUACUGCAUAGUGAUAAAGUAAAGCAAUUACAUGGCGAUUGCAUUUCAUACAAUAAAGCGACAACCAUAAGGCUCCUGCCAGUUGCCGAUAACUUUUACAAAACAUAAUCAUCUCAUACAAAAACGUAUAUCACAUCAUGUCUUGACCAUAUCACAUCACAACAUGCCCUGCAAAAACAAGUUAGACAUCCUCUAGUUUGUUGUUGCAAGUUUUACAUGGCUGCUACGGGCUUCUAGUAAGAACCGUUCUUACCUACGCAUCAAAACCACAACGAUUUUUUGUCAAGUGUGUUGUUUUAACCUUCAACAAGGACCGGUCGUAGUCAAAUUCGAUUCAACUAAAGUUGGAGAAACAGACACCCGCCAGCCACCUUUAUGCAAAACAAGUUGCAUGUUUGUCGGUGGAACCGGUCUCAUGAACAUGGUCAUGUAAGGUUGGUCCGGGCCGCUUCAUCUAACAAUACCGCCAAAUCAAAAUAAGACAUUGGUGGUAAGCAGUAUGACUAUGAUCGCCCACAACUCUUUGUGUUCUACUCGUGCAUAUCAUCUACGCAUAGACAUGGCUCGGAUGCCACUGUUGGGGAACGUAGCAUGCAAUCUCAAAAAAAUCCCUACGAUCACGCAAGAUCUAUCUAGGAGAUGCAUAGCAACGAGAGGGGAAGAGUGUUCCAUGUACCCUCGUAGACCGAAAGCGGAAACGUUAGCUUAACGCAGUUUAUGUAGUCGAACGUCUUCGCGAUCCAACCGAUCAAGCACCGAAUAUACGGCACCUCCGAGUUCUGCACACGUUCAGCUCAAUGACGUCCCUCGAACUCUUGAUCCAGCAAAGUGUCGAGGGAGAAUUUCGUCAGCACGACGGCGUGGUGAUGGUGAUGGUGAUAUGAUUCGCGCAGGGCUUCGCCUAAGCACUACGACAAUAUGACCGGAGGAGUAAACUGUGGAGGGGGGCACCGCACACGGCUAAGAGAACAAUUGACGUGCUUUGGGGUGCCCCCCUGCCCCCGUAUGUAAAGGAGGAGAGGGAGGAGGCCGGCCCUAGGGGCGCGCCAUGGGGGGCACCGACUUGGACUCCUAGUCCUAGUCGCCUCCCCCCUUCCUUCUUACGGAGGGGGAAGGAGAGGAGAGGGAGAAGGAAAGGGGGCUGCGCCCCCUCCCCUUGUCCUACUCAGACUCCCCUUGGGGGAUCCGGCUUGCCUGCUCCCUUCCCAUGCUCCCAUCCGUGCUCCCACCUCAUCCUACGUCUGUCUUUUUUUCCUUUUUCCUUUCUAAUCUAAUCAUAUCCCCCCCUGAUUUUAAGGGGGUGGGGCCGGGCCUUAUUUUGUUCCAAUCAAAUUAAGCCACGUAUGCGGGAGCACAGAUGGGAGCAUGGGAAGGGAGAAGGUAAGUCUCGUCCCCCUUGGGGGGCAUGCGCCACCCCCUUGUGGGCUGCCCUCUCUCUCCCCUAUGGCCCAUGAUGCCCAAUACUUUCCCCGGGGGGUUCCGGUAACCCCUCGGUACUCCGAUAAAUAUCCGAAACGCUCUAAAACCAUUCCGGUGUCCGGAUACUAUCGUCCAAUAUAUCAAUCUUUACCUCUCGACCAUUUCGAGGCUCCUCGUCAUGUCUGUGAUCUCAUCUGGGACUCCGAACAAUCUUCGGUCACCAAAAUACAUAACUCAUAAUACAAAUCGUCAUCGAACGUUUAAGCGUGCGGACCCUACGGGUUCGAUAACUAUGUAGGCAUGACCGAGACAUAUCUCUGGUUAAUAACCAACAGUGGAACCUGGAUGCUCAUAUUGGUUCCUACAUAUUCUACGAAGAUCUUUUCCGGUCAAACCGCAAUGAAAACAUACGUUAUUCCCUUUGUCAUCGGUAUGUUACUUGCCCGAGAUUCGAUCGUCGGUAUCCUCAUACCUAGUUCAAUCUCGUUACUGACAACUCUCUUUACUCGUUCAUUAAUGCAUCAUCCCGCAACUAACUCAUUAGUCACAUUGCUUGUAAGGCUUAUCGUGAUGUGCAUUACCGAGAGGGCCCAGAGAUACCUCUCUGAUACUCGGAGUGACAAAUCCUAAUCUCGAUCUAUGUCAACCCAACAAACACCUUCGGAGACACCUGUAGAGCAUCUUUGUAAUCACCCAGUUAUGUUGUGAAGUUUGAUAGCACAGAAGGUGUUCCUCCGGUAUUCGGGAGUUGCAUAAUCUCAUAGUCAAAGGAAUAUGUAUAAGUCAUGAAGAAAGCAAUAGCAAUAAAACUUAACGAUCAUUAUGGUAAGCUAAUGGAUGGGUCUUGUCCAUCACAUCAUUCUCCUAAUGAUGUGAUCCCGUUCAUCAAAUGACAACACAUGUCUAUGGUCAGGAAACUUAACCAUCUUUGAUUAACGAGCUACUCAAGUAGAGGCAUACUAGGGACACUUUGUUUUGUCUAUGUAUUCACACAUGUAUCAAGUUUCCGGUUAAUACAAUUCUAGCAUGAAUAGUAUACAUUUAUCAUGAUAUAAGGAAAUAUAAAUAACAACUUUAUUAUUGCCUCUAGGGCAUAUUUCCUUCAGUAAGAGGGGUUGUCAAUCCCUCCACGGUAAAAAGAUAGAUUGUUUUGUAUGAUAUUGGAUAAAUAGAUCUGAAUAGAACACGAAAUAAAAUAAGUAAAGAAAAAGUGCAACAAGAUAUUUUUUGGUUUUUGGAAUAAUAGAUCUGAAAACAAAUACGAUAAAAGAUAGAUCUGAAAGCAAUGUGAUAAAAGAUAGACCCGGGGGCGUAGAUUUCACUAGUGGCUUCUCUCGAGAAAAUAGCAUACGGUGGGUAAACAAAUUACUGUUGGGCAAUUGAUAGAAGAACAAAUAAUUAUGAUGAUAUCCAAGGCAAUGAUCAUGAAUAUAGGCAUCGCAUCCAAGAUUAGUAGACCGAAAUGAUUCUACAUCUACUACUAUUACUCCACACAUCGACCGCUAUCCAGCAUGCAUCUAGUGUAUUAAAUUCAUGGAAAAACGGAGUAAUGCAAUAAGAACGAUGGCAUGAUGUAGACAAGAUAUAUUCAUGUAGGAAUAGACGCCAUUUUUUAUCCUUAAUAGCAACGGUACAUACGUGCCUCGCUACCCCUUCUGUCACUGGGUGAGGACACGUAAGAUCGAACCCAUCACAAAGCACCUCUUCCCAUUGCAAGAAAAAUCGAUCUAGUUGGCCUAACUAAACCAAAGAUUCGAAAAAGAAAUACGAGGCUAUAAAUAAUCGUGCAUAUAAGAGAUCAAAGAAAACUCAAAUAAUAUUCAUGGAUAUAGAUCUGAUCAUAAACUCAAAUUCAUCAUAUCCCAACAAACUCACCGCAAAAAGUCAUUACAUCAAAUAGAUCUCCAAGAAACCAUUGUAUUGAGAAUCAAAAAGAGAGAAGAAGCCAUCUAGCUACUACCUACGGACCCGUAAGUCUAUAGUGAACUACUCACGCAUCAUCGAAGGAGCACCAAUGAGGACGAUGAACCCCUCCAUGGUCGUGUUCCCCUCCAGUAGAGUGACGGAAUAGGGCUCUAGAUUGGAUCUCGUGGUUAUGGAACUUGCGGCGGCUGGAAUUGUGUUUCGUCGACUCCCCUAGGGUUUCUGGAAUAUUUGGGUAUUUAUAGAGCUGAGAGGCGGUGGAGGAGACCCCCGUGGGCCCCAUAACCCAUCAGGGUGCGCCAGGGGCCUCUGUCGCGCCUUGAUGUCUUGUGGGCCCCACGGGCCUCCCCCCAGGUGCUUCCUUGGCUCCCAAGUUGUCUUCUGGACCCAAAAAAUCUCCAAAAAGUUUCGCUGUGUUUGGACUCCGUUUGAUAGGGAUAUUCUGCGAAGUAAAAAAAACAAGCAAAAAAUAGCAAGUGGCACUGGGCACUAUGUCAAUAGGUUAGUCCCAAAAAAUGAUAUAAAGUUGCUAUAAAAUGAUUGUAAAACAUCCAAGAAUGAUAAUAUAACAGCAUGGAACAAUCAAAAAUUAUAGAUACGUUGGAGACGUAUCAUUUCUCUAAGGAAUCUUCUUUUAGCCAAGUCCGGUAGACCUCUGCUAUUCCAGAGAAUCCCUUUCAUAGAUCAUCGUGGAAUUAUUUUCUUUUGUUUAACUCUAGCACUUCUAUGCACUGCCGAUAUAGGAUAAACCUUCCUCUUCCAGGUUUUUUUUGGUUUAUCCUUCACCACCUCUGCGUCGUCAUGAUCAGUGGAAAUGGUAGAACUGACACCUGUUUGCAGAGGGGCGAUAUACCCCUCUGAAACCACAUCCUCAUCCUCGGUUUCUACUCCCUCUGUGGGAAUCAAAUCCUCACAUAGUGACUGUAAAGCGGUAACCCCAAACUUAUUAAUGUCUGAAUUAUUCAAAGGUUUGACUACUGCCAUAUUUUGAAUUAACUCUAUGGCUUUGUCCGCUUCUAAGUCUAACAAAUCAUUAAUGGAUUUGGUUGUUUCUUUGUCAUUGCUACCAAGAGAUAUCCCUUGGUUGUGGGUUUUAUCUAAAAUCUCAUGUUCAGAAAAGUGAAGAAUGGAACAACUAGUAUUUACCGACAUACGUGUAUUUGCUUCAAUAUCUCGAAGCUUGGCGGCCCUCAUCGCUCGCCCGAUCUGUAUGUCAUCGGCAUCAGGCUAAGACUGAAUCUGGUGACUAAAGCGCCUGCCCCCGGACGCAGGAUCCGGGAUCCCACCAAAAGCUAUCACCUCCUCCAUAGUCACUCCGUCCAAGCUUUGGCCGCCUACCAUGUGCCCAGCGACAGCAACCUUGGGAGAUAGCGUCGUAGACUCCUCUGGUGCAUCGUCCACCCUGCCGGUCGAUGCGCUGAAGUCAGACAGGAGGUCCCCCGCUCCAAACCGGGACGCCACCUCCUGUGGCGUGCCAGUCUGUCGUGAUGAUGAAGAUCUCAGGGUAGGGGAUGGCACAUCCGACCGACCGGCCGUGUAAGCCACCUCCUCCACAAGCGGUGGAGCAACCUCAAAAGACUGCCCAUCCCCCCUCUCAGCAGAAGUGUGCGGCAAAGAUAACGGGGAAGACGGAGUAGUCCCUUGGGUCUCCUGCCAGAUGUGAAUCACUUCCGCCUGCACCUGCUACUCAACCACCGAGUCUGUGGCUAUGAUGUCAUUCUCCACUUCCAUCUCCACUCGGUCACCAUAAGCGACUCGGUGCUGACAUCGCCUGAAACGAUCCAAAACACAGAGAAGUUGUGGGAGUGGAAGAAGGGGCCGACCCCUUAUCAGUCCUCGGCUGCGCCGACUAAGCGGGCUUUGUCGCCGGUAGAUUCUGUCCACCAAAAUCACCAGACUUCCCCUCCACCUCUUUGUUACCGUUGUCAUCACCACCGUCGGUCAUGUCCACAUCUUUACUUGUAGAGACAUUAUCUGUCGCAUGGCCCUCCUCAACCACAACCUGGAUAUCAUACGCCACUCCAUCAUACACCCACGGAACAGAAUCCGGAACAUACUCCGAAUCAAUAACACUAACUAGCAUCCUCGCAGUGCCAUGCAUACGGGUAAAAGGCAUAUCAACCUUCUCAGUUUUACCAAGCAAAGACCCGAGACUCCAAACAAUAAUGAAGUCAUUCAGCAGUUCCUCUGUUAUGCCUGGCAGUCUGACCCAGAUCUGCUCCAAUGGUGAUCCCGUCGGCUCUGGUUUUUUGCAUUUAUCGAACUCCAGAACACACUUGCUCCCAGUCACCUUGCUGAACCCAAACUUCAACAGACGAUCCAAGUCCUCCCUCCUGGGGAACUCAACUCUGUAUACCUAAUCAUCCACCAGAACAAGAGCCUAAUGGAAGGACUCCGAAACCAGCUGUCUGAGCUCCCGAGACACCUGUUCAUCUGUCAGUGUCCCCUUAGUCACCUUGACUAGACCGAACUUCGAGCACUCCCGGCGAGCGGUCACUGAGACCAUGCGUGGAGUUUCAAAGAACCUAAGCUUAUUGUUGCAAACACCAUAUAUAGUCACCACAGGCUUAGGAGCCGAAAGCAAAGCACAAUUAUCCGAUGAGUGCCCAGGUUUGAGGCAAAUGUCAGACAAGACCGUCAUGCAAUCAAUCACAAAGUGACCUGGCUCACCACAUUAAUAACAGCUCAUCUUUUCCUUCUUACGCGCCGCCUUAUUAGCACGCACCAUCUCUGCUUUAUCGCUACCUUUGUCACUUUGAGCAUAUCUGUCAUCUGUAGGUGUGGAUGUGGGAACAGACACCGAUGCCAAUGCCUUAACUGCCGCCGCCUCAGGCAGUGUUACAGAGGAAGAAGCGGCGACGUCCGCCGCUUUGGCCGCCCCGCUGCCAGUCCCCGCUGGCGGGAGUGUCAGCUUAGGAGCCGUUUUGGGCACAUAGGGGCGGCGCGGAGGUGGGUUACGACCGAACCCAGCACCCCCACCCCGACCACCUCUUUGGCGGUAGUGCGGUCCCGUGGCGCCUUCGACGAACUCGUCGGGUGGUGGGUUAAAGUUUCGCUGCCAUUGGUUUCCGACGAAGACGCGCCCUCCACUGUUGUUCCACUGAUUCCAUCCACGUCCAUCGUAUCCGCGGCCUCGCCUGCCGGGCAGGCGCCCCGGGAACCGCAGGCCUCCGAUCGAGUCUCCGGUCCGCGAGAUCGAUCGGAGUGCCAAGAUCCCUGCCACCACUUUCCCCGGCGCCCGUGCGGGCUUUCCCGGCGGUCGUCUCCGGUGGCGGCGAGGAAGGAAGGGGAGGCGGCGCGGUGGAUCCCUAAUCGCCCCCGAGUCGCCUGAUGGACGACACAAGGGCCGAUCGUGAAAGUCAGAUAGCAUUGUCGAUGUAGUCAGCAGAAAACCGAAAAUGAGCAUGAUGUUGUAUUAUGAAGAAACAACAAUAUUCAGAUUUGUUUCCUACUCCUUUUUAUCAUUUCGAAAGUAUACAGAUUAAAAUUGAUUUCUUUUCCUUUUCCUGUAAAUAGAUAUAAAACAACGAUUUUCAUAAAAGUAGCCGAUGCCCUUUAGGCCAUAAAAGGAAAUAUAAAUAAAAUUUGUGAGAUUUAAAACAUCAAAGCAAAAAGGUCCUCACGAAUAGCUGAAAAAAGAAAAGAAAGAAAACUCAAUCAUGCUAUAGCCACAGAUCUAGACACAAUAAGACAGUCUUGGAAAUCUAAAUUAAUUCAGAAUGAUGAUUCUCGAGGAAUAAAUAGGAUUUGAACUAUAUCAGUAGAGGUAAAUUUAUUGAAUUUUACUGUCUUGAAACUGCUACUCAUAUGAGCAACGCGAGUAAUCCCCAUCCUUUGUACCAGAGGUCAACUGAUGAUCUGAACAGAAGGGACCACAAAUGGACUUGUACGUAAACAGCUCGCCCCUAGACCAACCGCUACAUCUUCUCUCAUUUUAAAAUACACCGGCCCUACGCCGCGCCUCUACCUGCCAGUUAGCCAAUUCUGAUUAUGAAGCGAAGCGUUGUGCUAAUACACAGCAAAAUACAGAAUUCUGAUGUGCAAGGUUGGCUGGUGCAGAUAGCGGCAGUACCUGGGCUGGAGGCCCGUUUCGAAUUUGCCGACACAUACACACGAUCAAGCACGCAAAGACCGCGUUCCCACGCCGUCGAGGUGCGCAGCCUGGCACCAGACAACGACGCAUGCAGCCUUCGCACAGGCGAGGCGACCAUCGUCGGCGGUGGCGUCACGGGGCCGGGCGCGGGAACGCUACGCCCGCUUUUCACACACUGCUGCGUUCGGGACCAAACGAGCCAACAUCAUCGGCCACGGCGCUAUGAAUCGUGUCAGCCCAGUCACGAGCGCCGCGUGUGUCCCGCGCCCGGCCGCACACACAUCAGCGGGCCUUCUAGAACCAACUCGAUAUUACGGCCCAGACUCGCCGACGGGGUGGGCCCACGCGUCAAAACCCAGGAUUCCUCGCGUGGGCGUGCGUAUAUAGAUCUCAGCCCAGAGAGACAGAGGACGUGUACCCCAAGAACCAGAGAGCCAACCAACCCAACCCCUGAGCAUCUCCGGCCACGCAUCCGCUAAGCACACGCAAACAGCCGCCCCCACGAUACUCACGAGGCUUCUUCCCCUCCGUGCGCUCUCUUCUUUCCCCCGUCCCAUGGCCACCCCAGCGACGACGCCGGCGACGAUGCGGGCCGUGCAGUACGACGCCUGCGGCGGAGGCGCCGUCGGCCUCAAGGUAAACAGUUACUGUUCGGGAUAGCGGGUCGAAGCUUGUUAGUUUGCUUUGUGUUCUGGUCGGCGCGCGAGAUUGGUAUCCUUGGUGCCAAGGAUGAUUUGGGCGAUUCACUGGCUAAUUGACUACACUUAGUACUAAGUAUUAGAGUAUAUGUUAGGAACCCCUUGGUGGAGAUCGCAGUCAGUUCACUUGAAUCCUUUCUUUUGAAUUGUUUUUUAUGGCAAGACAAAUAGCCAAGUAGCUAGCUGUAGCUUACUCAAGUAAUAAAACUUUGCUCUAGCGGCUUUUGCUGUAUAAUUUGUGAUGGGCACUCGGUGGUUGUAUGAUCUAUUGAGUAAUUUAGUGGUUUCUAUGGUGGUCGUGUGUUGCACUAGCUAGAUAUAUUCUCUCUUUCUCGUGUCUACUUGGCUUUAGGAGUGGUUAAGAUGUGUUACAGUGGAAUUAGUUAAAUAGGUCGCGCAUACCUGCUGUUGGAUGCUCGGAAAAGCACUGCACAAUAGUUUUUGUAUUGUGACCCAUGAGUCAGCACCCCUGGAUCCCAAACAUAUUCCGAUGACGAGUCAGUCGGAAAUUUAUUAUUUAAAAGUUGCACAUGUCUGGUGUUAGAUGAUUGGAAAAGCACCAGAGACAACUUAUUGUAAAUUUUAAUAAGAUUGAGAUGACCAAGUCAGUUGUGUGAGCUCCCAUUGUGAGUCAAUCGGUCGACGGGGGAUUCUUUUCACAAGAACCCUAUUUUAGCCUAGAGAGGUUUGCCGGACAGCUUGAUGCUUAUACCGCUUAAUUAAUUAACAAACAAAUCAAAGUAGUUUGUUUUUUAAAAGAAAGGAGAACAGUAAACAUAAUAUUUCCUUCUUCCAUGAAGAUGAACCAGUAGAACCUAUAAACCUGUGAUUCUGAAAUCUCUCUAAUGCAGCAUGUAGAAGUCCCCGUCCCUUCAGCAAAGAAGAAUGAGGUCCUGCUGAAACUGCAAGCUGCAACCAUCAACCCAGUUGACUGGAAGAUACAGAAGGGGGACAUGCGGCCUCUGCUGCCUCGUAGACUGCCUUUUAUCCCAGGUAACUAUCCUCAUUCAUAGUGCCACUGCGUGGAUGCUAGCCAUUUUCUAUCAACCAUGGAUUCUGUUUGGAGGUUUCCUAUGUAGAGAACAAAAUAGCACCAAGCGUAGUUAUGAGAACGUUAUUUCAUCAUGUCAGUCUUGCUAUGUUAUUUUGUUCUUCACCUUUAACAACUAUCCAGGAUGUCUCUUAUCUGAUAAUCAGCUUAUGAUAAAGAUAGCAUAUGUGUGUGUGUGUGUGUGUGUGUGUGUGUGUGUGUGUGUGUUUGUGUGUGUGUGUGUGUGCAUGAAACAACUUGCUGAUAGAUGAACUUGCUGAUAGAUGCAUCUCUUCUCUACUGCUCCUUUUCUUGCAGUGACUGAUGUUGCAGGAGUAGUUGUUGAUGUUGGUCCCGGAGUGAAAGGUCUCACAGCGGGUGAUCAAGUCGUCGCCAUGCUGAACUCUUUUGUGAGUGAAGUUCACUCAUGACAACACAUUUCCAUGUUUGUCAUCUUCAUACUUAGAAAGAAGAUGAUUUCAGAACAAAUUCGCUUCUUUUAAAGAAAAACAAUAUUGCUGUAAACUCGUUAAUGUGAUAAUGUCUUUUGCUGUUACAGAACGGAGGUGGACUGGCAGAGUAUGCUGUAGCAUCCGCAAACCUGACCGUCAAAAGGCCAGCUGAGGUUUCUGCAGCUGAGGGUGCUGGGCUUCCUAUUGCUGCAGGCACUGCGCUCCAGGCACUGAGGUCCAUUGGUGCCAAGUUUGACGGCACCGGCAAGCCAUUAAACGUGUUGGUCACCGCUGCCUCUGGCGGCGUAGGCCUGUACGCGGUGCAGCUUGCAAAGCUAGCGAACCUUCAUGUUACCGCCACCUGCGGCGCACGCAACAUGGAUCUUGUGAAGAGCUUGGGCGCAGACGAGGUGAUGGACUACAGGACCCCAGAGGGGGCGAGCCUGCAGAGCCCCUCCGGCAGGAAGUACGACGGCGUGGUUCACUGCACCAUCGGUGUCAGCUGGUCGUCUUUCCAGCCAUUGCUCAGUGAUGCCGGGAGAGUGAUCGACAUCACCCCCAACUUCUCGGCCAUCCUCACAUCUGCGCUGCACAGGGUGACAUUUUCCAAGAAGCGCCUGGUGCCCCUGCUCCUGUCGCCCAACAAGGCGGACCUGGAGUUCUUGGUUGGGUUGCUCAAGGAAGGCAAGCUGAAGACGGUGAUCGACUCGAAGUUCCCGUUGAGCGACGCAGGCAAGGCGUGGCAGAGCAGUAUCGAUGGCCAUGCCACUGGUAAGAUUGCCGUUGAGAUAGAGAGCUGAUCGUCGUCGACGCUUGCUAGUAUUACAAAAGGACUUGCAUACAGACAGUGGACGUGAAUACUUAUUAGGAUGUAAUCAUACAGACUAGUCACUUGUGCGUUUGUUUAUUGGGGUGAUGUUCGUUUAUUCAGCUUAUUAUAUUAUCUUGUUAAAAGGGUAUUGAGAGAUAUGAGUUGCAACAAACUGUAUAUGGCUAUCGUAAACAAUAGCAUUGUGCUGUCAAAAAUACAGUUCGCUCUUUGCUGAUGCUUUGUGAACCACCACAAAGUGCUGCAGUGGUCAUCUGUUGGCCAGAAUUCAGUAUCACCUUCAGUUUUUUCUCGAUCCAAACAAAGAACCGUUGACCUCUGCAGAAGAACAAAUCGUAUACUGAGAGCCCAAAGCAGAACAGUAGGGGCGUAGGACGUCUCUUGAAUAUAGCAGACCAAAUUAGGAAGUUCAAUUCCAAAGCACAGGGACUGUGAUGCCAUUUAGUCGUUCCAGAAAAAGGGGUUUGGUGCACUAAUUUUUUUUAAAACGAGGCAAAAGAUUUGCCAUUUUUAUUGAAUAAGAGAGGAGUUUAGAGUUGAUGGCCAAAGGCCUGAUUACAGGCCACUGCUCUCGCAGCAUAAUAUUACACAAAUGCUUUGCGCCCGCAAGGCUUCAAAGCGAGCAUUCAUCUUUAAUCUUGACGACUAACACUCCUACCAGGACCGCGGUAUUACGGAAAACCCAAGCGUUUCGCUCCAUCCAAAUCUCCGAAGAGACAAGCAACUCUAAACAAUUACCCACACCAGUUAAUAAAAACUGAAGUUGACUUGCACAGCAAAUCAAGCUCGUGACGAUACGGCGUAAACUACUUGUGCUCCGUCUUGUGCGAAUCAGGUGACCUAGUUUAAAUAAUCAAAAAGGCUAAAAAUAUGACAUCAGAUAUUAGAUAGUGGCAAAUCAAACUUUUUUAUCAAGUUAUGUUGUGCGAUGACAAAUUUUCAAAGCAAGCAAUGUUUUAAGCAAGCAUUGCCCAUGCUUGCUUUACAAAAUUGCCAUCCACAAAACAACAUAAUUUGCCAUCUCAGGUGUUCGAUUUGCCAUGCUAAAAAAAACUGAUGUUCGAAUUGUAACAUAAUAUGUAAAGAAAAUCCAACAACGCAUCAGCUCAAAAGAAUGCCAAAACUUACUAGGACUGCAUCUGAAUAGAUUGUAAUAUUCUACAAUUAGUAACCAAUAUCACCAUUGCUUUCCUUGCCACAAAACAAGGAGAGCAUCAAUUUAUGACCUGAAUACGCUGACAACGACCGCACAUGAACCCAGCUCACGACACACCAUUUUUGUGAAUCUUAGUACGUUCAACGACAAUGAAAUAGCAAACUUCUACCAACGCAUAGCUACCAAACUCAC
RNAcentral lists this long non-coding RNA (48882 nucleotides) under Triticum aestivum (bread wheat). Its description in RNAcentral is "long non-coding RNA (TAES_LNC024216)". Lineage: Eukaryota; Viridiplantae; Streptophyta; Magnoliopsida; Poales; Poaceae. The record is from RNAcentral.